UCCGAUGAGAUAAUUUUUCAUUCAAAAGAUAUAUAAAAAUACUUUCAUAUAAAAAUAUAAUUAUUUGAAAAUAUUAAAAAGAAAAAGAAAGUAAAUAAAUAAAGCAACUGUACUCACACUCAUGCUUAAGAUCAAAGUCUCGACACAACAACAAAAGCCUUAUGGAUUUACUUACAAAAGGUAGGCACAAAAAUUGCAAGUGAAAAGACUCGAUUAUCUUGUUGCUUAUUUUGUUGCUUGAUGUUAGAAUGUGUUCGUUUAUUCCAAAGUAUGACCAGAAAUUAAUAAGAUUAUUUGGUCCAUUCACGUUCUACAAGCCAAAUUCAAAAUGUGUAGAUUUCGAUUACAUAAAUGACAUAAUGAAAAUAAUUUGCUGCACAUUUUAGUGUACAUAUUUAGAUGAGAUCAUUCUCUAUGUUUAAUAUCUAGCAUUAUGGUUACAUUAAAUGUUACUUACUUGUGUGAGAUAUUCAAGAUCAGAGCACGGUGCUUACAAUUUAUCAACCUAUUAAAGGAUGAAGGGAAAAAUAAAUAAAGAUUAGAAUGUGUUUUUGUAGUAAAUUUCGUCAAAUAUUUGUGUGUAUAAAUAUUAAUUAUAAUGAUUGUGUGUAUGAACAUUAAUUAUAAUGAUUAUGAAUGAUGUUUAAUUUAUAUUGAAUAUGUUUUUAAAAUUUAAGUUAUUUAGAUUAUAUAGAGAAUUAUUUAAAUAAAAAUAAAAAAUUAUUUUAUUAAUAAUAAUAAAUAUUAUUAAAAAUAUAAAUAAUUUUUCAAUAAAUUUACUAUGAACUUUCAUAAAAUAAUCUUAAUAUUUCUUGUGAAUUUGGGAUUAUUUUUAUUUAAAUAGUUUUAAUAUUUUUGAUAAAUUUUCGAAGGCCAUAUUUUAUCAUUAAGUUUUCAAUAAAUUAGUAAUAAAUUAGUUAUUGGAUAAAUUCUGCUAACUUUUCAGAUGGAAUGAUAAGUCGAAAAUCUGUAAAAAUAACAAACACCCCUGAAUUCUUAACUUCUAAGUCAAAAAAUCUAAGAUUCUAAAUCACAUUCUUGAAAUGAAAAAUCUGAUGAGAAGCCAAAAAGAGUGUCUUUUACACCAUCAAAGGAUGUCAUCAGAGGUUCAGAUUUAGAAACAGGAUUGUUUCUUCCAAACUUUUAUUCCCUUCCAGAACAUCAAGUAUCUGCAAUUUGCAUGAAAAUAAAGGGUAAGGGUUAGCAAUCCAAAUGACCAAAUUGAGAGAAGAACAGAACAUGUCGAGGUCUACGCUGUGGAAUUAUAUUUUUGCAGAAUUACCUGACUCAUUCGUGGCCUACGUUGUGGAUCAUCAUCUACACAAGCUAAAACACAGGCAACCAUUCGAUCCAUUUGUUCAGUGUUGUACUUCUGUAAUUUCUUAUCAACAAAAUCGAACUUGUCCUUUCCUUCCAACAGACUUUGUGAGAGCAGUGGCUUAGCCUGAAUAUUCAUGCAUGAAAUUAAUCAAAAUUAGGAUUGCCAUUAUACACUUAAAUUGCAAUUAUAGAAUAGCCUACGUACCCAUUUAACCAUGUUCUUGUGACCACUGAAAUGACCAACUGGUUGUUUCCGGGUAAUCAACUCCAAAAGAAUUACACCAAAGGAAUAAAUGUCAAGCUUAUCAGUCAACUUGCUAGUAGAUUGAUACUCAGGAGCCAUAUAUCUGCAUUUGGAGUUGGAUUAAUAAGUGAAAGUGUAUUCUAACUUUCUUUUAAUUUGUUUCUUCUUCCUAAUCCCAAGUCCCCAAAUGCCUAUCUCAUAGCUUUAAUGCAACAAAAAUAUAGAAAAUUUAUUUACCCGGAAUUUUGCAUAAUUUUGCUGAUAGAGAGAUGAGUAACAGAAUCCGGGAAAAUCUUGGCACUUCCAAAUUCUGCAAGCUGAACAUAAUAUUGAGAUUUAAUUAGUUUAACGGCGUUAAGAUGUCUGUAUAAGUUAAAGCUUCAAAAUAAUUUUUGUUGAAUCUUUUGGCAAAAUAUUACUGAGCAAAAUUUUAAUGUAUAAUAUUCCUUACCUUUGGUAUAAAUUUAUCACAAAGAAGAAUGUUAUCGGACUUGACAUACAAAUGUAAAAUUCUGUGUCCACCUGAAAAAAAAAACAACAAUCUCAACAAAAAAUAAAUAAAUAAAUAAAUAAGCUUCCAGACAAAGAAUACGGACUGUCUUCAUGCAUAUAUUUUAAUCCUCUGGCCGAGCCUUUGGCGAUUUCCAUUCUACUUGUCCAGUCUAUAGUUGAUCCUCCAUUUUCUGCAAUAUUAUGAUACCUUUAAGACCAGUAGAAUCUUUGUUGUUGAAAAUUAAAUUUAUUAAGGUGAAAAAGGCUCACCAUGUAAAUGAAAUUUCAAGGAAUUGUUGGCUACAAACUCAAAAACAAGCAGUCUAUUGUCUUCCUCAUCACUGCAGUAUCCAAUUAGAUUAACAAUAUUUCGAUGAUUAACAUUGCUAAUGGCCAUAAUCUCCUUCUCGAAUUCUUGUUUAUUCUGUUGAGAGAACUCGUACAUAAGUCUCUUAAUUGCCACCUUACUUUGAUCAAUACCUGGAAGCACUCCCUCAUAGACUGGACACAAGCCAUGCUGUCGAAGAAGGUGUUUUCCUGAGAAACUAUCAGCUGCCUUGGCUAGAAAACCAAAAUCAAAUUUCUUCAGCAAUGAAGGACGCUCCAGUUCCAGUUCAUUUGGCUUUCGAGAUCCAGACUCAACAUCUGGAUUACAGAAGAAAUGGGGUAAUUUAUACUAAUGCUAUAUAUAAUAAACAAAAAAGAAAAAGAAUUACAUUCUGCAAAUAUUUCUUCGUGGGAGAGUGUUACCUUCCACAGCCCAUAAUUCACUGGGAGACAUGUUUCCUUCAAGAGCUUCAACUAUCUGCAUUGAAUAAGGUGAACCAUUGAUUAUGCAAUCUUCCGAAUUCUCAAAUUUUAAAUGCUUUGAAAGACAGACAAUUUGUGGAAAAUAAUGUUUGAUUUGCAAAUUUUUAUUACCUGUUUCAUUCUUGGUCGAAGUUUAGCAGGUCGAUAUACACUAGCAGCAGCACAACAAAUCAUUAUUUCUAUUUCUUUUUCGUCGUAAUGUCCUUUCAAUGUGGAAUCAACAAGACUACUGUAAUUGAUUUCGACUGAAUCUCCUUUGAUCAUCAAAGGCUUUGCCUGAGACAAAACAAGUAGUAGACAAGUUUUCUCUAAUUUUUUAAUAUGUAAAAUAUUAUAUUUGCACCGUCACAGAGAAGUAUCUUACCCACUUCACAAUAUCAACUUUAUGUUCAUCGUUAAUUUUUCUUCCAGAAAUAAGUUCCAGAAGCACAACACCAAAAGAAUAGACGUCUGAUUUGUCAGAAAGUUGUUGAAUAGAUUCACCUUGUUGAGUAUUGUAAUUUUCUGGAUCUGCAUAGCUGCAAUUUGCAUAUAAAAUUAAAAAAAUUUUCUAGUAUGUCAGAAUCAUGGCACUACAAAAAUUAGAUUUUAAUUUUUUUUUUUUCACUUUCUUACUAUUCUAGAACUAAACUUAAAACAGAUUGAUUAUAACAUAGGAAGGAAAAAAUAGACUAAUUUUAAUUCAGUGCAGUGUUCAAUCAAGGUUCUUACACGUAGGUUCCCUUCCAAUGAGAGCUGAUGUGAGUGACACUAUUAGUUAUUGGAAAAAACUUUGCAAGUCCAAAAUCUGCAAUCUGAACAAAAUAAUUUUUCAAAUUAAUUAUCAAAUUAACUAAAAAGCCUUUAAUUAUUAAAUUAAUUACUCCACCUUUAAUUAAUUUGUCAAAUUGAUUAAUCUACCUUUGGCUUACAAUUUUCAUCAAGAAGUAUAUUUUCAGCUUUAAUGUCACGAUGGAUGAUUUUAGAAUUACCUGAAAAUACGAUGGAGAAUGAAAAUAUUUAAUAAGAAAAUAGAGUUAAAAUUCAAGAAAAAAAACAAAAAAAAAAGAAUAACUAAAAAGUCUAUUACUCACAUCCUUCAUGCAGAUAUGCUAAUCCCUUUGCAGAACCUUUAGCAAUUUUCAUUCUCUCUGACCAUUUCAAAUUUGAUCUUCGCAGUUCAUCUGCAUUGCCAUUUAGCAUUAUAUAACCAACAAUCCAAAUUACACGCAGAAGUCUUUUUGAAAUUUUAUAUAAUACAUUCUAUUUUUCAAAUUUGAUCUUCGCUGUUCAUCUGCUUAAGUGGUAAAGGCAUUUAUAUCGCAGUGUUAGGCGUCCGAAUUCUAUCUUUUCUGACGAUUAUGAUUACGUCUAAACACCAAAAAGGAGAUGUGGAGCAUGUGAAAAGGACUUACCAUUUAGAUGAUAUCUCAAGGAUUUGUUGGUAACAAACUCUAAAACAAGCAAUCUGUCAGAAUCUUCAUUGCAGUAGCCAACCAGCUUAACAAGAUUUCCAUGGCGCACAAUGCCAACGGCAUUAACCUCCUUUUCAAAUUCUUCUUGUUCCUGUCCACUGAUCUCAUAGUUAAGUUUCUUAAUUGCUACGUCUUUCCCUCUCGGAAGGGAUCCCCUAUAGACAGAACCAAAGCCCCCGCCGCCGAGGAGUCUACCGUUGGUGAAAUGGCCAGUUGCUUUUGCUAGUUCUGAAAAUUUAUAUGUCUUCAGUUCAUAUGCUUUAUAAUCAUCAUUAGAAGCUGACUGCGUUCCUGUAAACAGAGAAUAACUACCAAAUUGUAAGUUACUACCAACUCAACAAUCUUUAAUUGAAAGUGUGGGAAAGUGUUUGUUACCUUCCACAACCCAUAAUUCCUUAUGUGGCAUUUUUCCUUCAAGAGUUCUAACUAUCUGCAUUUCAUAAUACAUUUAUUAUUUUCUAUAUAAAAUCUAAGAAUUUAAUUGAAAUAAUUUUUUAUAUUAAUUCUCUCUUUUUAAAUAUUCUUUAAAAUUUAAAAUGAAUUGAAAUAAUUUUAAAAUGAAUGAUUAAAUAAUCAAAUAAAUUUAAGUAUACCUGUCCCAUUGUUGGCCGAAGUUUUGGGGAUGGACUGUAUAGGCUAGCAGCUGCACAAUAAAUUAUUCUUUCCAUUUCUAUUUGAUCGUAAUCUUCUUUCAAUGUUGAAUCAACUAAGCUCUUGUAAUUCACAUUUAUUGAAUCUCCUUUUAUCAUUAGAGGUUUCGCCUGAAUAAUUAUCUUUUAUUAUUUUUGUAAUACAGAUAAAUAUAAAACAUAAAUAAUAAUAAUAACUUCAUAAUUUAUUUUAUUUAUUUUUUUGAUUUUGUUGAUGAGAAAGGACAGAAAAGAAAAUUUGUAGAUUUUGCUGGCUGCUUACCCAAUUCACGAUAUCAAGAUUACUUUCAUGAAUUUUUCUUCCACUGAUGAGUUCUAGAAGUAUAAUUCCAAAAGAAUAAACAUCCGAUUUUUCAUUGGAAUUUUCUGAAUCAGUAUAACUGCAUGUUUAAGAAGUAUUAAAAAUUUUGCAUUAAGAAAUUUUUUUUAUAUAUAUAAAUAAAGUCUAAGCCCAAAACAGCGCCGCCCAUUUUGUGCUCCAAUCUCUCGGCUGAGAAUUCAAGAUCCUUGGUUUUCUUUUUAACUUUUUUUAAUAAAAAAUCUAUUUUGUAGAAGUAGAUAAAAAAUAAUAACCAUGUAAUUAUAAUCUACAAGCAAAAGUACUAUAUAUAUAUAAAUCAAAUCUUACAUGGUAGCCUCUUUUUUAUCGGCAGGAAUGUGUCUGAUAUUAAUUUCUGGAAAAAUUUUAGCAAGCCCAAAAUCAGCAACCUGAAAAGAAAAAAUUUUUUAUCCAUAUUAAGUAAAUUAGUAUAAGAUUCAUUUAUUGUGAAUCAUAACACAUUACGUAUAUAUGUAUUUAAAAUAAAUUUAAUUCUGAGACUUUGCUGUUUAAUUUUUUAUUAAGUGAUAUCUUAACUAUAUUUAAUUAGCACUUAAACAACAAAAAAUUUUAUAAAAAAAAAUCAUUCACUCUAAUAUUUGUUGAAAUUUAUGCUGAAAAUAAACGGCUGUUUCAAAAUAAAUAAUUUUAAAAAAUGAAAGAAAAAUCGAGAAAGAAUGCAGGGAAGAUAUGCAACAUCAUAUGUAGAAUGCAUGAAUGCCUAUGCAUGAAAAGUUUUAUUUGAUACUAUUAAAUUAUCCUAUUUUUCUUUAUAAAUAAAAAAAAAAAUUAUCAUACCUUGGAUUUAAAGUCAAUAUCUAGAAGAAUAUUAUCGGAUUUAAUAUGAUAAUUUUAGGAUUACCUAAAUAAAUAAAAACAGAAAAAUAUAAAUCUUAAUUAAUGAAAAGUUAAAAAAUGAAAAUAGAUGAAAACUUAAUUGCAAAAAGAGCAUAGUAAGCCUUGAUUAAUAUAAGAUUACUCACAUUGUUCAUGCAGAUAUGCUAAACCUCUCGCAGAGAGCCUAAAGCAAUUUCCAUUCUUAUUGACCACUUCAACUUUGAUCUUUUCUUUUCAUCUAUGAUAUCGUUUAUUAUUUGUAAGAUGGCAAUCAUAUAAUAACAAUCCAAAAUGUAUCUUAGGACUCACCACUCAGAUGAAAUUUCAAAGAUUUGUUGGGAACAAACUCUAAAACAAGCAGUCUAUCGGCUUCUUCGCAGCAGUAGCCGAUCAGCUUAACAAGAUUUGGGUGAGACACAGAGCCGACCUCCUUAAUCUGAUUCUCGAUUUCUUCUUCCUGCUCACCAUCCUGCAUAUAUUUAAGUUUCUUAAUAGCAAUGAGCUCACCACUUGGAAGGCUUCCUUCAUAGACAUCACCAAAAUCACCGAUGCCAAGAACUCGUUUGUUGGAGAAAUGACGAGUUGCAAUUGCUAGUUCUUCAAAUGAAAAUUUCUUGAGUAAAUCCUCAGCUGAUGUGUGCUCCGCGACUUGUCCUCCGGGGAACUCAGUACUCGCCGGCAUCUCGUCCUCGACGAUAUUAGAUAGAAAGACAGAGAGAGAGAGUGGAGUGGAGGAGUAUUUAAUAUCCAGGGACGUAUAGGAUUGAUAGAGAAAGAGGAAACAGGCUGGAAGUUGCUUGAUAUAUGUUUAAACAAUUGUAUAUAUUUUUUUUUCACAUGAGAAAUUUCCUUGAAAAAAUAAAAACUAAAAUUCAAAACUCUGCAAACGAUGAAAAUUAUAAAUUUAAUCUAAAUCUAAAAACAAAAUAUUCAUAGGGAGUAAUAAUAAUAGUAAAUAGUAAUAAACAAUAUUAAUAAGUUUUUAUUAGUUAUGGCAGACACACAAUAUAUAUAAUUAAAGAUUGGUUUAUUUUCUUAAUUAUUUAUAUUAAAUAUUAGUUUUGUCGCUAUACGUAUUGAAUAAUAGACACUCUAAAUAAAUAAAUAAGAAAUAAUUAAUUAAUGCAUCCUUGUGAAUAAUUGAUGUUGAUUAAUUUAGCACUAUCAAUAUUAUAUAUGUGAUGGGUAGUUGGGAGAUGUGAAUGAUAGAUAAUAAAUUUGAAAUCAAACCACUAAUUUAUAUGUUGGAUAAGACUUGAGGGUUAUCCGAAAGUCCACAUAUUUAAAUCAAACCACUAAUUUAUUUAUUUAUUUCUACAUUAUUGUCGUUUCUAUUAAGUUGAUAAUUCCUCACACAUGGGCUGUUAGAAAUAGAAAAUAAAUUGGCACAUGAUCCAAAUUGCCGACAGAGACGCUACAGUAGUGGCCACAUUGCUAAUAUUCUGUUCAUCUCUUGCGCUAGACGUGCCAUGGGCCGGUUUCAAUUUGUAACUGGCAAUUCAAUUUAUUUUUUCAAUUGAAUUAGAAUCAGUUAAAUUCAAGACAAUUUUAAUUUAUUAACGGUUUUGAUUUAAUUUUAGAACAGUUAUGAUUUCAAUUUUUUACAGUUUUGAUUUAUUUUUUAAUUAAAUCAAAAUCAUCAAUCAUCAAUCAUCAAUCUAAUUUCAAUUUAAAGAAAUUUAAAUUUAAAAAAUUUAAAUAAAAUAUAAAAAAAUAAAUAUAAAUUUUAAAUAUUAUUAAAUACAUAUUUUAUUAAAUAAAUAAAUUAUUAAAAUGUAUCUAUUGUACGUGAUAAAAAAAUAAAAUAAUAUUACAUUUAAAUAUAAAAAAUUUUAAUAUAUAUUUCCUAGGAAACUUCAAUUAUCUGUAACAAAAAUUUUCAUUUUAACACACAUUUUCUAAGUCCAAAUAGAUUUAAUUAGUUUGAUUAUUUUGGGAAAAAUCUCUGAAUUUUAUCUUCAAAUUCAAAUAAGUCAUAAUUUAUUAAAAUGUUAUUUAAUUUUAUAAUAGUAAAUAUUUUUUGUGAUUUUUGAAUAAUAAAAAAUAUUUAUCAUUUGUAAUAAAAUUACUAUAAUAUUUUUUUACUUUUUUUAAAAAUACAACUGUUUAAUCAUUUUAUUAAUAUUUUCAUUAGUCAAUUGACUAAAUAAUUUAUAAUAAUAAAAACAUUUUAAUACUUUAUUUAAAAUAUUGGAGAUUAAAUUUAAAAAUAUAUUUAUGACAUUUAAUAGAUUUUAUCAAUAUAUAUAACAAAAUAGCUAAAUAGUUACAUCGUAAUAUAAUAACUAACUUUUUAAUUGAUUUUAAAAAUUAUAUGAAUGAAAUAAUAAAUUUUUUAAAAAUUAAAGCACUUAAUAGUAAUUUUCAUUAGUGAAUAUAAUACCAUUUAGAUAGUUGUCAUCGUUCUCAUCCCAUGUAUCCUUCAAAGGAACAACAGCUUCAAGAAUUUAAAUUAUCUUCAUGACAUAGAAUAGUAAAAAAAAUUAAACAUUAAGUGUGAAAAUUGUUUAAAAUAUCACACUAUAUAAAGUUGCAUACAUACAUUCACAAUCGAAAUAUUCAACCAUGAAAUCUAUGUUUAUGGACAAAUAAAAGUAACAUUUUUACUAUGAUAAAAAAAAAAGUGUUAUAAUCUCUCAGAUCUUUUAAAAUUCUAAUUUCAGUUUAUAUUUUGAAAUCUCUUAUAAUAUAAGCGAGAGUCUGCGCUUCCAACAAAAAAUUUUGUUUUCUAAUUCAUUUCGGAUCAUAUCGCUAAAUUUUUUGAAUCAGAUCACAAUUCAAUUCAUAAAAAAAAUAUUCAAAUUUUAAGCCACAUAAUUAACACAAAUAAUAACCUCUUAGUUUUUCUUUAUUAAUUAUGAAAAGAUUUCAUAAAUAAUAAUGGUAACAUCCUCAAAUUCAUAGUUAGAAAUAGUGACAUUGCUAGGUAUGAGUUAGACUAUUUCAUUAUUAGGGCAAGUGGCAUUAUGGGAGUUAUUAGCUUAUCCCGAACUACUUAGAGGAAGUGCUAGCAGAACUCUAAAUUGCUAAUAAUUGAAUCAUAGAAAACUCAACUAAAAAACAGACAUAUUCAGAAAUAAAGUAGAUAGUGUGAUUAGCGAGUUGAAAAUGAGUCAUCUUCGGGAGGUGUUUAGGGUUACCCGACAUGCUCGCUUGAGGUUCUUGUUAAAAUUCGACAGCUUAUCUAAGUGAAAUAGAUUUCUAAAGUUUUAGUAAGUCAAUCUAUGAAUAUUGAAAAUUUAAAAAUUAAAUUGAAAUAUGAUAAAGAAUUUAGUUGGUUGAAGUAUGAAUAUGAAAAGUUCAAAAGUAAAAUUCAAUUUUAGUCUUUUAUUUUUUUACCUCUUCAACUUAACCUCUCCAUGUGUUAUCUAAAUAAAGUCAAAAUAAGUGAUAAAAGUAAAGAGAAAAGGUUAUCUUCUAUAUUUUAGAAGUCUUGGCUGAAAUUCCUCCAUUAAAGAACAAAUGUGACUUUAGUUUUCUUUAUUUCCACCAAAUCUAAGCCAAUUUCUUCACUAAAUCAAUUUUUUUUUACAAUCAAAGUUCAUCCUCAUAUCAAGGAUAAGAAAAUAAGUUAUAAAUUGAAAUAUUUAAAAAAGGAAAAAUUAGAGUUCCAAGUAUUAAAGCUUCAAAGCCAAAGAAAUUUCAAAAGAAAUGAAUUUUGCAAAAAAUUUUAGUAUUUGUAUGAUUUUCUAUUUUUUUUUAUUUUCUCAUUAAUAUGUAAAAUUAGAGAUUAAUUUUGCUUGCCGAAAAUAUUGCUUUGAUUAUAUAAAUAGAUAAUAUAAAUAUUGGAAUGUUGUUUUAAAUACUCAAAAUAAAAAAAUUUAAUAUGAGAGUUAAAAGUACAAACUUGACAAUAGAUUUUAAAAGGGCUAUAUAUGUUAGCAGUUUCAUAAUUUAUUGUGUAUUUAUUGAAAUUAGAUAUAAAAUAUACCAAAUAAAAAUUGAGAUAAAGAACUAAACUUUUAUAUGUGAUGAUAAUCAUAAAAAAAUAUGGAUGAUACUAUUAUAAAAUGUGUGUUAAAUUAAAAAAUAGUAAAAUAUUAAAUGACAGUUAAUAGUAUAAUUAUAAAUAUAUUUUUUAUAUAUAUUACAAGUUAAAAUAUUGAUAAAAUAUAAGAAACUCUGCUAAAAAUUUGACUUGUCCCGGCGACUCCUUUAAUUUGCUUACUAAGCCCUAGCUUACUAAAAAAAAAUAGAUUUCAAAAUUAUUACAGCUUGAAAGGCUUGAAAAAAAGAACUUUAACUUCCUAUUAUUAGUAUACCGUAAGUAACUCGGUGCCUAAGAAGAGUUUGUCUUCAUUGCGUAUUGGCGGAAUAAGAAAAUGUUCAAUUACAGGGAGUUUGCUUUUCUUAAAGAAAAACCAAUUUCAAAAUUUAUUUUUUUAACUUUAAGAAAAAGCAUAGUUUAUCCAAAAAAGUUUAGUGCCUAAGGGGUGCUAUAAUAACCUCCACUUAGCCUGGUUUCAUAAAAAAAAUUAAAAUAAAAUUUUAUAAAAUCAUAUAUGAUUUUAUUUUCUUUAAAAUAAAUCUUUAUAAGUUAAAAAAAAUAUAUAUCUUUCAAACAAGAAAUUUGAUAAAAAAAAAAAUAAAUUAAAUUCUAAAAAUUUUAAAUUCACAUAAGAGAAUAUAGUAAGUAAGUUCUUAUCUGUCUCAUUAUAUAAUUUUUUUUAACUAAUUGAUUUCAAUAAAUAUGACAAUAUGCUUUAUUAAAUUACAUAAAUAUACAAUGAUUAUCAACUACCUAACUUGUACAUUGGAAAAUAAAAUUAGAAUUUAAAUAAUUAAUAUUAUUAAUAAUUUACUUUAUUAGUUAAGUUAAAUUAUUAUUUUACUUUAAUAUUUAAAUCUUAAAACUUUAAGUAUAAUUUUUAUAAAAAUAUAUAAAAAUAUUAUUAUUAAUUAUUAAUUAUUUAUUUAAUAAUACACCAAUUAAAUGUUAACUCAAACCUUAAACUUUUAACUCUAUGCGUUUAUCGGUUCUUAGAUCGGUCCAGAUCUCAAAAUUAUGGCAAAGUUUACAUAUUGCUGAGCAAUGAUAGAGAUUUCAUGUACCCAGGAUCACCCUACACUCCUUUAGCUGCGGCGCUGAGGCUAAGGCUGCCUUAGAAUCUCUUAGACAUUUUAACUCAACCCAAUGCACCAUGUUUGUCAUGCCUCUUGUCUAAGACAAUGCUUCUCUUUUUUAUUAUUUUUUUUAAGUAAUAUAUAUAUGUAUAUUAAUAAUUUUUGUUGUGCUUAUUUUUUUAAAUAUCUCAGUAUCAAUUAUAAUUAUCGUCUUAAUAGUAUUAAGAGAACAGUUUUAUAAUAUUUUAAAAUUUUUAUAAAAAAAUUAAUUUUUUAUAAUAAUAUAUUUAAUAAAAAAUUAUUUUAUAUUUAAUAAAAUUAUAAUUUUAAUUGUGUCUUUUAUCUAUUAUUAUAAAAGACUUUAUAAUAAUAUAUAAAUGGAUGUCUCACAUGCAAUGAGAGUGGAGCUAAAUGCAGCGAUUUUCAAAUUAACUGUUGAUAUUGAUUUACAGCUAUAAUUAAAAUAUAUAAAGUAAUAAUUUACUGCCAUUACUUUAGAAUGAUUUUUAUAAUAGUAGAACUUGAAUUAUUUAUUUGAAAUCUUGAAAAUGUUCAAUAUACACUACUGAAACUUUUUUUUAAAUAGAUGAAUUCAUUUUUGAAAUUUAGCAUAAAUAAAAAAAUUAAUAAAUUUAAAAUUAAAUGAAAAACUUUUCUCAAAUUAUUCAUGGAUUUCAAAAUAAACUUUGUUACAAAUUAGUGCAUCUUACUGUCAAUUUUCUAGCUGUUACUUUGAUAAUUUUUUGUUCCCAUUCUACUGGUAUAAUAAAGAGUAUUUUACUCUUAUCAUAUGCUCCAUCUUGGAUGUGAGAUGCUUGAUAAAUUCCUCCUCUUGUUGUUGUCGUUGGAGUAGAAACUUCUCCAUCAUUGAUUCCAUAAAAGUCUUUUGCUCACAAAUAGGUUGAGAUUGUUAAAAAUUCAUAUCUUAAUUUCUUCCAACUUGGAACUCAGGCAGUCUCCUAUUUUAUGGUGGAGAAAAGUAUUGUUGUGGAAGAAGAAAUUGCUGCUGAAAAUUCUGAUUUUGCUUCGGUUGUUCAGACCAAGAUAAUUCACUUGCUCAGCUAAAAAAUCUUGUCCCCAACUUUGAUUGUCAUACACAAAACUUGCUCCAUAGCUCAUGUCAUUCACAACAUUUACAUUCUUAGCUUUCAUUCCCAUGGUCAUCUUAUCUAUCCUUUUAACUAAGGCAUUAAACUUCGCAUUGAUCAUUCACAUGGCAUCAAUCUCAAACAUCCCAGUCGGUUUCUUAGCCUCACUCUUCACAUUGGCCCUUUCACCAUUACAAUGGUAGUUGUUGUAAACUGUUUUGUCCAAGCAAGCAUAAGCAUCAUCUUCAGUUUUUUCCAUUAAAUCACCUCCUGCAGCUACAUCAAUUGCACUUCUCAAAAUUGGAGAAACGACAUUAUAAAAGUGUUAUACUAUAUCCACUUUGGUAUACCAUGGUGAGGACACUUCCUUUGAAGUUCCUUGUAUUGCUCCCAAGCUUCAUGUAAAGACUCAUCUUCCCUUUGUGUGAAAGAAGUAAGCUCAAUUCUCAACUUAACUGUCUUGCCAGGAGGUAUAUACUGCUCAAUAAAAACUUGUGACAAUUGCUCUCAAGCGGUAAUAGAUCCAGAUAGCAAAGCAUUGAGUCACUCUCUAACUCUAUCUCUCAAUGAAAAUGGAAAAAGUCUCAAUCUGAUUGCACCUUUAGAAACUCCAUUAAGCUUGAUCAUAUUACUUAUUUCCAUGAAAUUGCUCAAGUGUAGAUAUGGGUUCUUAGUAGGUUGCCCACUAAACUGAGAUUGUUGCACCAUUUGAAUCAAAGACGGCUUCAACUCAAAAUUGUUUGCAUCAACCCUCGGUCUCACUACACUAGGCCGAAAAUCACCAAAGCUAGGAUAAACAAGGUCUCGAAUUAUUCUAAUGUUUUGUUGAGCCAUAGCUUUUACUUCUUAAGUAUCUUCCUCUUCUUCUUCUUAAAUUACUUCUUCAAUAUAAACUUAAUCGUCUUGUAUAAAAAAAUUCCUGAAAAAAUUAAAAAAUAAAACAAGCAAGUAAAAAGAUAUUAAAAGAGAAAAAAAAAAAAGUCCAAAUCAACCAAUCACCUAAUAUCAAACAAAAUUAAUUUUCUGGCAACGGUGCCAAAAACUUGUUGUGAUACUGCAAGUAUACGGGUUGCACAAGUAAUAUAAUAAUAGAGUAGAAUAUCUUCCCAUGGAGAAUUAGCAUUUAGUACUAGGCUAUGGUUGAAGUAAUUAUUUGGACUAAUCAAUUUAACGCUAAAAUUAACUAAUUAAGAUAAAAUGUACAGCAAUAUAAUUAAAAUUAAUAAAAUAGAUGGCAAUUAAACUAAUUAAUUUUAUAUUAGCAAGAGGAAAUAACUAGCCAUUGAAAGUGAUUAAACUAAGUAAAGGUAAAUUAACUAGAAAUUAACUAAAAUUAGCAAUUAAUUAAGAUAAAAAAUCAAAUAUGGGAAAGCGAUUUCAGAGAUUUGGGAUUCACACUCUAAUUAAUAUGGAUUUUCUUCAAUUUCUAUCAAUUCAUGGGUAUUCUAUUGCUUGAAGGAAUUAAUUCCAAAAUUACCUUAAUUCUCUUUCAAGAUAUCAAGGUUGUACCUUAAUUAAAUCAAUUUCUACUUUCGCAGCUCUUGAUUUAAUAAAAACUCAUUAGGUCCUUUAAUUAAUUUUGAAAUCCUCUCAUAUCCUAAGUUAAUUUCUUAAAUCUAAGAAUAUAAGUUCUAAUCCUAGGUUUUCCACCAUUAAUCUUCAUCUUUCAAUACAUUAAUUAAUGAUUAAAGCACUACUUUAUUUUGUCAAACAUAAAGCAAAAGAUUAAAGCACAAGAAAAAGAAUAAAGAUCAAAUACUCAACUCAUAAUUUGAAAUUAGCACAAACCCAUUGAUAAAACUUAGUUCAAAUCUAAAAUUAAAAUAGAGUAUUAUAUACUCUAUCUUUGAAAUCUAAAAAUCUACUAACUAUUCAUGAUAUUUACAAAGGAAAUCUCAAAAUAAAAUAAAGAAAAUAUGAAAUAAAUAAAGGAGAAGAAAAGCCCAAAUGAAGAACUCUUCAAAUAUUAAUAAUCCACGCCCAAAGAGCCUCUAUUGGUGAAGUUCCAGCAGCCCCUUUUGUUUUUCACGUGAAAUGAGGAACAAGAAGGUGAAAAAUAGUGGAAAAAUGGGAGAGAAAAGGAGGUGGCGGCUCUUCCCUUUAUUUUUGGAUAUCUCCCUCUAAAAAUUAAAGAAAAAUACUAUUUAUAUAUCCUGAAAAGUUGUUCUAGCAUAAUAAAAGAGGUUGCUAUGUCAUCACCAUAAGUUGCUGAUUUUUGUACAUUAAAAUGAGUUGGCAGUUUGAGUGACAUAAGCUAUGACACAACUGUGUUUUUGCUUAUGCAACUUUCUGCCCCUCUUUGAAAUAAAUGAUCUUCAAAACGCAAUUGACAUAACUUUUUCUAUAAAAUAAAGAUAAAAUAUCUAUAAAUACUAAUUUAUAAAAGUUAAUUAAAAUUACUAAACAUAUCAAAUAAAUAAGUAAAGAUAGCUAUUUACAUGAGUAAAAUGGGUGCAAAAUAUAGUUAAAAAGUAUAUAAAAAUUGAGGUUAACACUAUUUUUCAAGAAGAAUACAACAAGGCUGUAGUUCUUGGAAAAUGAGUUAACAAUGAUAACACAAGAUGGCAUGCCAAUUUCAGAAUAUUUUUUGCGGGUGAAAAGCAUUUGUUCUGAGAUUUUUAAAUUUGAUGCGGAUGAGAAAAUUAGUGAAGCCUGAUUGAGAAGAUUUCUUAUUCAUGGCUUAAAGGAGUAUACACCUUUUGUUACCUCCAUCCAAGGAUGGGCAGUUCAGCCAUGAGUUGAAGAAUUUGAAAAUUUACUUUCCAAUUAAGAGGCUUUGGCUAAGCAAAUGGCUAAAAGCUUUAACUCUGAACAUGAUGUUCUUCUUGUCUUAAAAAGAAAAUCUUAUGGGGAUGUAGUGUCCCACAUCGAUUGUUUAUAGGAAAAUUGAUGGAUUUAUGAAUAGCUAGCAAAAACUACCAAGUAACUUGGGUUAACUAUUUUGAACCAAGUAAAAAAUGAAUCAAAAAAUUAUUUAGGUCAGUUUGGACUUGAUGGUUAAAGAUAGGGUAUAACAAAAAGAACUAUCGUGUGAAGAUAAUGUUUUCUUGAGGCUACACCUAAUCAAUCUGAAAAAAUGCAUUUGCUGGUCUUGUUGUAUAUGGAUGAUAUGAUAAUUACUAUGAAGAUGAAAUUUGGAAGAGGUUCGAUGCUUUCUUGACUUAGAAGUAAUGAGAACAAAAAAGGGAGUAUUUGUAUCUAAAAGAAGAUAUGGAGAGGAUCUUUUGCAGCGUUUUGGCAUGGGGGAGUCUAAAGAAAUGGCAACUCCUAUGGAAGUGAAUCUCAAGUUGAAGAAAGACGAAGAUAAAUUAUUGAAAGAUAAUUUGAUUUAUUUAACAAUUACAAGACCAGAGAUUGCAUACUUUGUUGGUAUCAUCUCUCAACUUAUGCAAAAUCCAAGAACUCCUUAUUUAUGUUGCAAAAAGGAUCAUUCUAUUAGGGAAACACCAUUUUUUAAAAUAGUAAAAAUAAAAUAUUAUAAAUAAAUAAAUAAAUGGCACAUAAUAAUUUUAUGUGGUUUACCACCAUUAAUUUUAGGCUACGUCCACAUGCCGAACUCUGAAUAAUUCUUCAACUAUAAAAAUAGUAGGUAUAAAGAAAGAGAUUACAAGUGAGAUCUACUAAAAAAUAUUUAACACUCAAAGUGUUUCCCAAAAUACCCAAAAUAUUUUCCUCAUUAUUUUGUCACUCUCUAAAUAAACUAUCCCUCUCUCUCUAAUAUUUUUCUCUCAAAGCUACAAGUUUUGAAAAUACUCAACUCACUCAAAGGAGAUUUGCUUCAAAUUCAACUGAUGCCAAUUACCUUGUGCUCUUGCCUAUUUAUAGGCAAGAGUAUUGCCCAAGCAUUAAAUGCAAAUCUUUGGUUGCAAGAUGGCCACGUUAGUGGCUUUUGUUGUGUGGCUGAAAAAUUCCCCCCCUCCCCCUUUUUUUAACUUCAUAAUCGUUACUGUGGGCCCUCUAUGUUAGAGGGACCCACCUAAUAAUUCUCCCCCUCCCGACUACAUGAAAGGCUGCACCAUUGCAGUUGCUAGUCGAUGGUACUCAAACUUUUCCCUUGGUAAUCUUGGUUAACAUGUCUUAUCCAUUUUCUUUUGUAUGGAUCUUUUCAAGUAGUAGUUACUUCAUCUCCAACACACUCCUGAUCCAAUGAUAUCUCACAUCAAUAUGCUUCGAUCUUGAAUGGAAAGAGACAUUCUUCCCAAGGUGAAUAGCACUCUGACUGUCACAAAAUAACUGAUAUGUUUCCUGUUGGAGCCCAAGUUCAUUCAAGAGCUUUUUCAUCCAAAGUAACUCUUUACAUGCUUCAGUUGUUGCAAUAAACUUUGCUUCAGUAGUGAAAAGAGCAACACACAUUUGUAAUCUUGAUUUCCAUGACAUGGCUCGCCCUGCAAAUGUAAUCAAAUAUCCUAAUAGACUUUCUUGAGAAGUCAACAUCGCUGACCAUAUCUGCAUCUGUGUAGCCAACUAACACAGGUUCACUACUCCCAGAACACAAACAUAAUUUGGAAGUGCCGCGAAGAUAUCUCAAAAUUCACUUCACUGCAGUCCAGUGUUCCCUUCCUAGAUUUGAAAGAAACCGACUCACUAUUCCAACUACGUGAGCAAUAUCUGGCUGUGCGCAUACUAUGGCAUACAUUAAGCUUUCAACUGCUGAAGCAUAAGAAACCUUGUCCAUUUCCUCUCUCUCUUCAUCUGAAGAAGGAUUCUACUUUGAGCUAAGAUGAAAGUGGUUAGCAAAAGGACAACUAACCACUUUACCAUGCUCCAUGUUGAACUUCUGAAGUAUUUUCUCUAUGUACUUCUAUUGUGACAACCAUAACCUCUUGGCAUUUCUAUCUCUGGUUAUCUUCAUGUCAAGAAUUUGCUUUAUUGGCCUCAAAUUUUUCAUGGCAAAAGACUUACUCAGCUGCUUCUUCAAACUAUUAAUUUUGGAGACAUUCUGGCCAACUAUCAGCAUAUCAUCCAUAUAGAGCAAAAGAAUGAUGAAAUCACCAUAAGAGAAUUUAUGAACAAAUACACAGUGGUCUGAAGUAGUCUUCUCAUAACUCUGCUCCCCCACGACAGACUUGAACUUCUUAUACCACUAUCUUGGUGCCUACUUCAAGCCAUAAAAGCUUUUCUUCAACUUGCAAACAUAGUGCUCUUUUCCUUUCUUUUUGAAACGCUCUGUCUACUCCAUAUAUAUCUUUUCCUCCAAAUCUCCAUGAAGAAAGGCAGUCUUUACAUCCAUAUGUUCAAUCUUCAGAUCAAUAGUAGUAGCUAAGCUUAGCAUUGUUCGGAUGGAUGUCAUCUUCACCACUGGUUUUCAGACUUCAACUAAGAUAAAUCAUGUUAAGUAAAAAAAUUGAUAUGAGAAUAAAUCAACCAAAAAACCAUCGCUAAAAUCAUAUCCACAAGUAGAAAACAAGAUCACAAUAUUGGAAGUUAUAGACAAAAACCAUAAUCAAUUGCACUCAGUCAAGCCACGGUGAAAUAUACACAAAAUUCAUAAUGAUAAAAUUCACAAAUCAAUUGUACUCGGUUUUUAUACUUCCAUUGUAAUUAAAAAAAAAACACACACACACAAAAAUAAAGGAAAAGAGAGGAGUUAUAAUCACAAAUAAGAUUCGUAUCUAAAUAUAUAAGAUUUCCUUGGGUAUAUAGGUAAUGCAGAUAUGGAAACUGCUGUCAUUCUCACUCCGUAAGGAAAGUUUUGUCAUUCUCUCGCCAAAUUAUGCUCCAAGGCAUAGACCCUUCUAAGACUUGAACAAUCUGCAUCAAUUAGCAAUGAGACAAUAAUGCUUAAACGUAUAAAUUUUAACUAAUUAAUUAAUAAAUUAGCAUUGACAGGGAAAAGAUAAUUAACUUACAAAUAGAUUAUUAAAAGUUUGAAUUUUUGUAAACAAAUUAAUAAUUUUUUUUCUUUUUUGAUAUUUGAUCAGUAAUUUUGUAUCAUUUAUAAAUGUUGUUUAUAAUUGUGUCCAGCGAUUAAAAAUUGAAGUGUUAUAACAUAUUAUGAUAAAAUAUUUAUUAUUUUUUAUUAAUUUUGAGAUCCAUGUGAUAUUUUAAUAAGAUUAUGUAGAUUUUAUAAUUUAUUAACAAAAUGAUUUUACCUUUCAAAAAAUUGCUUUUAUCAUAAUCAACUAUUAAGUAAUUAUAUUUAAUUAAAUAACUGAUAACUUAAAUUAAAAAAAAUCCAUCUAUUUAUGUAAAAUAAAUUACAUAAAAAAAUUCUCUUAUAUAAAUUUCUUAAAUAAUUAUAUUAAUUAGGUAAGCAGCAUGUUUGUCUAAAAAUUUAUUUUAAACAAAUUAAUUUAUAUAAUUCAUAAUAAAAUUAAGAGUUUAAUAUUUAGAAACACAAUCAAUUAAAAUUUUAUGACAUUCUAUCAAACAUAUAUAUAUGGCUUUACCUGUUGCAUUCUUGGUCGAAAGCGCGAAGAUUUAUAUACGGAAGCUGCAGCGCAAGAAAUCAUUCUUAGCAUCUCGUCCUCAUCAUAUUCUUGCAAUCUGGAAUCGACCAGAUCGGUAAAUUCACUAUUGUCCAAUGCUUGCCCAAUCCGAUCCUUAGCCUGCACGUUGAUAAGUGGAAGUAUUAGUUAUUUUUUUUUUUCUAUUGAAAAUAAACUUUUAUUCUUUUAAAAUUAUUACAAUUAUUUUUAAUGCAUUCGAGUGUAGAAUUGUGCAUAGCUUUUGAGUUUGAAUUAAAUUGAAAAAUCAUAUUAAAAUUAAAAAAAAUAAUAUUGUAGGAAUUAAAUUCAUAUUAAAUUUAUUUAACUAUUUUAAUUUUGAUUCUUUAUUAAAAAUGUACAAAACACUGAUUAUAUAAUAAUAAUAAUAAUUUUAGUGAUAUUAGAGUUUUAUUGUAUAAUUUUAAUAAUAUGAUUUAUAUAUUAUAUAGAUCUAAUAUAAUUUUAUAUAUUUAUAUACAAUAAAAUGUAUGAAUAAAUAUUAUAUUUUUUUAUUCCAUUUCAAAAAAAAAAUUAUAUUUUUUAUUAUAUAUAAAUAUUAUUAUUAUUUUAAUAUUAAUUAUUUAUUAUUUUAAAAUAAAUAUAAAAAUAGUUAAUUUUAUAUGCGAUCAUUAAGAUUUCAACUAUAUUUUAAACUAAAAUUAAAAUUAAAAAAAAAAUUAUAACUAAAAUUGAAACUGUACUAAAAUUACUUAAAUUAUUUCUAUAAAAUUAUACUAGAAUGAUAUUAAAAUUUAAUUUUAAUUCUAAAUCCUAAAAUUAAAGAAUUUGAAAUUUAAUUUCAAUGCCAAUUCUUAGUUAGAAUUAUAGUAAAAUUAGAAUUUUUUGAAAUUUAAUUUCAAUUCCAAUUCUUAGUUAAAAUUGUAAUAAAAUUAGAAUGAAACUAUGAAUUUGAAAAAUUAUUAGUAUAUCAAUAUUAACUAAAAUACGAAUCAUUAAGAUUUCUUGCUAUAAACUAAAAUUAAAAUUAAAAAUAAAAAACAAAAUAAGAAUUACAAUUAAAAUUGAAACUGUACUAAAAUUACUUAAAACACUACUGCAAUGAUAUCAAAAUUUAAUUUCAAGUCUAAUUCCUAAAAUUAAAGAACUAGAUAUUUAAUUUCAAUUCCAAUUCCUGAUCAAGAGUUUAUUGAGGCUCUGCUUUUUCUCAGACUCGACUCAAAACCCUAAAUAUAUAAAUCAACAGUUUAAAAUCAACAGUUUUAUGUAAAAUAAAUAUAUAAAUAAUUAAUUUUGAAAUUUUUAUUAUAUUAAGAUAUAGUUACUUUUUAAUACAAUAUUGUUUUUUGUUUAUAGUGUAUUUUAUAAUCGUGCUAUAAUAAUUUUUUAAAAAAAUUAGAUAUGUAAUAACUUUAGUAUUAUUAUGUAAGUAAAAGUUUUCUAUUUUAUCACCAGCGAAUUACAAGUGCAUGUGUAUAUCUAUAAUAUAUAUAAAUAUAAAAAAAAAGAGGGAAACAAUUAAAAAUUUCCAUAAAUCCCAUGAUAUUUUUAUAUUAUUACAAUGAAAACUGAUUUUUGGAGUUAAAAUAAUAUAUGAAAUUGAUUUAUUAAAUUAAUAAUUUUAAUUAGUAUAUAUAUAUAUAAACUCUUAUAUUUUAAUUUCUAAAAAUUAAUUAAAAUAUAAAAAUAAAAUCAAUUUAUCUAAAAUUUAAAUAUAAAAUGACGUAAAUAUCAUAUUUUUUUUAGUUAUAUAAAUUAAAAAAAUAAAAAAUUAUUAAUUAUAAAAAAAUGCCAUGCGUAUAAGAGAGUGCCAUACCCAUCUAAGAAUAGUGCGGCGUUGAUCAACUGAAUGUCCUCUUCCAGUAAUUAGUUCCAAGAGGAUUCCACCAAAAGAAUAAACAUCUGCAUUCUCAUGAUUGUAACUAAAAUCUACAUAACUGCAAUGAAAAAAAAUGGAAAUCUUUGGUAGAGGAACACUUAAAAUUGAUAUUAUUUUUUCUUGUUAUUUUUCUAUUUUAAAAUUUUAACAGUUUAAAAUUAAAGUGUAAAGUGUAGUUAUCUUCGAUCAUUUAAUUAAUAAGUAAAAAUAUCUUACAUUUGAGCUCCCCUAUCGGUCGUGAUGUGGGUAAUAUUAUCAUCUGGAAACAAAAUAGAAAGUCCAAAAUCUGCCAUCUGAAUCAAUAAUAAAUUUAAAUUAAAAUAUUUUUCCAUAUAAUCAAUCUAAUAUUAAAAAGAAAAUAAUCAAACAGAGUAGAGUAAGAUUACCUUACAUCCAAGCAUCAAAUAAAUAAAAUCACACAAUUUUUUCAAUAUCUUCCAAAACUUUGACAUUUAACUGUAGAUUUAAAAUGCUAAAAUUAUUAUUUUUUAAUAAAAAUUAAUAUCUUACCUUUGGUUCAAAAUUACUAUCAAUAAAAAUAUUAUUUGGUGUGAGAUUUCCAUGUAUGAUUUGAGGUGUACCUAAAAAAUACAUAUAUUAAAAAAAAUUAAAAACUAUAAUAAAAAAUAAAUUAAUAAUAAAAAAUAAAAAUAAAAAUAUGUCAAGACUCAAUAGUUAAUUAUAGUCUAAAAAAAUAAAAAAUACUCACAGUGAUCAUGCAGAUAUUCCAAUCCUUUUGCAGAGUGUAUUGCGAUUUUCAUUCUUUUUUACCAAUCCAAACUUUUGGGAGUUUCUAUAUAUAUUGUUAAGAAGAUGAACUAAACUCAAUUAAAAUUAGAAUAUACAUUUUGAAUAAUUAUUUUUAUUAUGAUUUGAUUUUGCUUAAUUAAUUUAGGAUUUAUAUUAUAAUUUUCUUGGUUCAGAUUUUUGUGGGGGUAAUGAAACUCUGAAAUAAGGUAAGGGAUAUAGUGUGAGGGAAAUGCAAGACGUUAUAAUAAAUAUCUCAAUGAAAAAGCACUCACCAUAUAAAUGAUAUUUCAAGGUUUUGUUGGAAACAAACUCUGAAACAAGCAAUCUAUUGAAUCCGUCGCUGCAGUGCCCAAUUACUUUAACAAGAUUUGGGUGCCUCACAAAGCCAAGGUAAUUUAUCUCCUGUAAUGUAUUUUCUGAUGAGGUUCUCUUAAGUCUCUUGAUAACAACGUUUUCACCAUCCAAAGUAGCUAUAUACGUUUGACCAAAAGCACCCUCGCCAAGGAAAUUUGCUAAGGAGAAAUAAUUAGUUGCCAUGGCUAGUUGUCCAAAAUUAUAUUCCUUUAUUUCAACAUUUCGAGGUGUUUGACCUGACCAAGUUAUAAUACAGUCACGACUAGUUAAAAGGAGAAAAAUUUCAAUAAACAAAAAGAAAAAUUAGAGUAAAAUGCAUUAAGAAAACAAGAAAAAUAAAAGCCCUCAUAUAUAUAUAUAUACGAAAACACAAAAUCAUAAUUAAUCAUAAUCACGAGAACUAUUCAAAUAUCACUAAUUCACAAUGCAGUUGUUGAUAAUAAUAAUAAUAAUAAUAAUAAUAAUAAUAAUAAUAUUAUUAUUAUUAUUAUUAUUAUUAUUAUUAUUAUUAUUAUUAUUAUUAGAGAUGUACAUAGUAACAAUCAUAUUUUAUAAAAUUUAUCAUUAUAUUAUUAAUAUAUAUUCGGAGAUCAUACAAAAGAAAUUAUAUAUAUGAGACUCAUCCCUUGGUUAAUUAAUGACCUUCCUAGAGAGCCGAAGUUUUCACCUCUAAUGACGACUAGUAAAUACAUAUAUAUGCUUGAUAUGUCUGAGAUCCGAUGAGAUAAGGAGAUAUAGACACGAAGGCAAAAGUUUGAUUCACGAGAAAGUUAGUGACUCUGAUUGGGUAGUGUGAGAGUUAAUAAAACUGAAGAAUCUGGUUCAUGGAGGUUGAGGUUAUGAGGUAGGAUAUAGAGUUUUCUAUGUUGAUAGCUGAAAAAUUUGUUCCCAAAGAGAAUUGGUCCAGGAGUAUUUGUACCCGGUCAUGCUAAGGCGUUCUGAUAGUCAUCCUUUCGAAUUGGACAAUGACGUGCCGUGGUAGGUAUGUUAGGCAGCUCAUUAAUGGCAGACAGUCGGUUAAUAAAUGUUGAGCUGCUUGGUUCAUACUCUAUUCAUCACGCACGUCAUUUCUGUCAGUCCUACAGCACGCAUAAUUAUGGCCCUAGUGAGACCCAGGGCACUUUAAAGAGGUUAGCCUACUUGCUCCAAGCACUAGUAAGGUCGGCUUGCUCGCUCUGGGUAUAGAUAAGAUCAGAGGUGUAGGAGGUCUGACCUAUAUAUUACAUAGGUCGAACCUCCUAAUGCCUGAUCAGACCGGAUAACUUGGUGCGUAGACUCUCUUGUUUCUCUUGUACACGUGUCACGAUCUUAACAAAAUCUGUUAUUAUUAUGUUAUCAAAAGCCCUUUCGCUUCUCCGAUAAUUAUUUAUGACGGUUGGAGGAGCGAAUCAUAUCCUACACUUUACAGCUAGGUAUGUGCCCAUUAAUUUCAUUUUGAGUUACGAGGAGUGGCCAUAAGUAUGCAUGACGCGUUCGCGUCCUCCCAUACGUGUCCUGAUAACUAUCGUCAUUUGGGUCACCGAAGCGUUGUUCUUUGAAUGCCCAUAAAUGCUUCAAUUUGAGUAUCUAUUAUUCCCUCAGGUCGAAAAGAUUGUCUAUAGGGUAACCCCCAUUUCUCUUGGAGAAACUUUCCAUCGAUCCUUCCUUUUCACGAAGACUCAUUAUAUUCAAGCUCCGAAUCUAAACGAAAGUGAUGACCGCUGGAUCUCUUCACCCCGGUCUGGGGCCAGGCCCAUGACAAUAGCCUAUUACUUAGAGGUCUCCAAGUAACUCACGCAAACUGGCUCCAGACCGCUCAGCCUCGCGACCGGGCUUCAUCUGAAUUUCUCAACCAGGCCGGUCCAGCCCUCACGGCCCAUCGAACAGAUCCUCUCUGAGCUCAGUUUUAACCUUAUCUUUCGGCCCAGCUCGGAACCAGGAAGGAGUUCAGCCCAUUCGCCUUAUGGGACCAUCUGCAUGCGCACUUGGGGAAAAUCAAGGGGCUGUUACGUAUGGGGUAGAAAUCUAAUAUCCUCGUGCGAUCGUAUCAGUAUGACAGAGACAGGUGGCCCAAUGGAAGUCAGGCCGUUACACGUCACUGACAGACAAUGGAAACAGAUAAAAGGAAGAAACAUUAUCUUCUCUAGGGGGGCUUUUUGGCUAAGUUUACAGAACCCUUGUAAAACCCUAUUUUACUGGAUCUCAGAUCAUCAAGUGGCACCGUUUGUGGGAACGAAGGAGAUCUUUUCAUCGCUGGAGUUCCACUCUUGCAAUACCCACUGAGAUCCACGAUGGCUAACAACAAUGAAAACAGCACCAUUAACACUCCCAAUGACUUGAACUAUAUCAAAGAGGGGCAGCAGUUCUCUUUUUCCAGUCCUACAAUCCCAAACAACCAAACAACAAUCCCCGUCAACCCUUCGCCAAGCCGGACAGGGAAUGUGCCUGCCGCUGCCUUGUCCAACCAAGACCUCCAAACCAUCGCCCUUCAAUUACAAAACACCGCCCGCUGGCUGGGGCAAAUGAUGCAACAACGGGGCCUCAGUACCCCAAUAAAUGUGUUGCCGGUGGUAGAAGAGCCCCGGACCAAUGAACCUCAGCCUACCUUUAACCAUCUCCAAACCGUCAGCCAAGAAACCGGAGACGGGGGGAGAAGAGCCGGGGAAGAGGAAGAGCCGAAAGCUCGAGUUCAGGGAAGGAGGAUGAGGGAGCUGAUAGAGAAUGAUGAAGUCAAUAGUUAUUCUGCCGGAAAAACCGAAAGAGCGGGGAGUGAGACAUGGGAGGAGGAAUGUCGCGCGGAGAAAAGGCCCAGGCAGGAAGAAGAGAGCGUAGAUCAAAAGCUGCAGAAGAUGAGAAAGCAGCUUUUGGCUGAGUUAGGGGCGAAGGACCCCAGCCAAACUCUUCACCCUUCUCAAAGUGGGUGCAGCAGGAGACCGUCCCAAAGAAAUUUAUGAUGCCACCUAUGGAGGCGUACGACGGAGCUAGAAACCCCCAGGAGCACGUCUUGAACUACAAGACUUUCAUGGAGCUGCAGACUUUGUCAGAUGCCUUAAUGUGCAAGGUAUUCUCGACGACACUCUCGGGGCCAGCACGGGCAUGGUUCAACAGCCUUGAGACUGGAAGCAUCAGAAGCUUUGGAGAUCUGGCCACUCGCUUCAUUAGCCGGUUCAUUACCGGGGUGCCUAUAGACGGAAAGAUGAGUUAUCUAGAAACAGUCAGGCAGAGAAGGGAUGAAUCGCUCAAGGAGUACGUUGCCCGUUUCAAUAUGGAGGCCUUGCAGAUUCCCGAGCUGGAUGAGGGUAGAGCAGUGGAGGCUAUGCAGAAAGGGACGACAUCGCCCGAGUUCUUUGGCUCGUUGAGCAGGAAACCUCCUACCUCACUGGCCGAGCUGAUGAAGAGAGUAGAGAAGUACAUAAGGCAGGAUGAUGCCUUGGUAACAAGCAUAUUUGUCAGGGGAGCGACGGAUAAGGGGAAAGCCCCGGAGGAAAGGAGGCCGGAGAGGCACGAGAAGAAGCACGGCAAGAAAUCUGAACCUUACAGACAACCAUGGGAGAGAAGGGACCAAAGACCCCUUCCUCCUCGGGUCUCAGAGCAGAAUCCACUCCCUCCGUGGGUUCCAGAGAAGCCGACCCCACUCAAUACCUCUAGAGCCGAAGUGCUCAUGGCCGUCCAAGACAAAGAGUUCCUACAAUGGCCUAGACCUAUGAGAACUGAAGCAGAUCAACGAAAUCCUGAAAAAUACUAUCAGUAUCACCGCACACACGGCCAUGAUACCAAUAACUGCUUUCAGUUGAUUGCAGAAAUCGAGAGGCUGAUAAAGAGAGGACACCUCAAGAACUUUGUGAAGCAACCGGAGGGACAGAGGCCUCAGCCUAACCCAGCAGCCCAAGCGCUGAGGAGAAUGGGAGCCGGACCGGUGAAUGAUGGGUCCAGUGGGACCAUCAACAUGAUUGUUGGAGGCACAGGAGGUCAGAUGAGCUGAAGGGGGAAGAAGAGGAGCCGAGAUGGGGAAAGUAACAAUACCAAAGUCAUGCAGGUCGUCAAACACUCUCCAAUGGCUAUCACUUUCUCUCCGGAGGACGCUCAGGGAAAGAAGCAUGAAGGUGGGAGAUCUGGUAUGAAGGUGGGAGAUCUGGCCCUGAGAAACCUAGAAGCUACAGGGAAAAGAGCGACAGUAGGCAAGUUGGCACCGACCUGAGAGGGCCCAUUCAAAAUAACAAAAGCAACAGGCCAGGGGUAUAUCGAGUUGAAGAUAUGCAGGGAAACCCUGAGCCCCAUGCCUGGAAUAUCCAGCACUUGAAAAGGUACUUCCCCUGAGGUAUUAUCAAAUGUAAAAACUUAUCGUAUUUUAAAGCAUGAUAAUAAAAGUGACAUUGAUUACCAUCCCAAUUUAUUAUUUGUCUUUACUCACCUUGCUUUCAUGAAAGAAACAAAAAAAAAAUGAAAAAAUGAAAAAUGAUGGUGAAUGAAACAAGAAACCGAACUGAGACAUAGAGACCUUAGGGAGGUAGAAGACCGGGAUCCCCAAGAUCUCCCAGAGCAACAAGUCCAAGAUCUCCAAGAUCUCCUGGCAUAACCGAACUAAGACAUAGAGACCUCAUGGAGGUAGAAGACCGGGAUCCCCAAGAUCUCCAGAAGCAACAAGUCCAGGAUCCCCAAGAUCUCUUGGCAUAAUCGAACUGAGACAUAGAGACCUCAGGGAGGUAGAAGACCGGGAUCCCCAAGAUCUCUCGGAGCAACAAGUCCAGGAUCCCCAAGAUCUCCUGGCAUAACCGAACUGAGACAUAGAGACCUCAGGGAGGUAGAAGUCCGGGAUCCCCAAGAUCUCCCGGAGCAACAAGUCCAGGAUCCCCAAGAUCUCCUGGCAUAACCGAACUGAGACAUAGAGACCUCAGAGAGGUAGAAGACCGGGAUCCCCAAGAUCUCUCAAAGCAACAAGUCCAGGAUCCCCAAGAUCUCCUAGCAUAACCGAAUUGAGACAUAGAGACCUCAGGGAGGUGAAAGACCGGGACUCCCAAGAUCUCCCGGAGCAAAAACGGCCGGUGAGAUCCCCAAGAUCUCCCAAAGCAAAGCUAGACCUCGACCUCCCCAAGGAGUUCAGGUCCUAAGAUAAAGAGACUCAGAUCUCAUACGACAACCAAAGGAGGCAAAGCGCCAUACCGACCUCAAGAAUAUACUAAAGCAGAUAUAAAGAGUCUAAAUCCGAACUCGGAUUAUAGGCUAAUAAGACACCGACCCCAAAGAUUGAUUGAUGGCACUAAACCAGCUCGGCUAAUCUAGAAGAAGAUCUAAGCAACAAAGAACCCAGCCAGGACAUACCCAAAAACUGAAUCAUCAGGUGAAGGACAACAAGAGGCCAAAAGGGCCGACCUGAAGAAACGGACUCGGACAACUAGGCAAAAGAGAACCGAGCUCAAAAAGCUCAAAGGCAAACUGAAGGCAACAAGCCUCCUAUGAUCCGAGAGGAAAUUCAGUGGCAUGAGCUAAAGGCCCCAGCUGUAAUACCCGGCUAGAGUCUGGCAUCGGAAUUCCUGUAGUCCAGUGGAAUUUAAGAUGUCGGAAUCCGCUAGGAGGGUAAGGGUUAUGUUUUUAUAUGUUUUUUAAGAGUUUUUAAUGUUUGAAUUUUUGAAAAAACACCAAGGAAGAAAAGCCAAGGUUCGGCCGCCGAAGGUGACUUUCUGCCGCCGAACUUGCAUGGCUUUCGGGUUUCACGUUUGGCCGCCGAAGGUGGUCUGGCCAGCCACCUAUAAAAGGCCCUAGGUCGGUCAAAUGGAUAAGAUUUUCUUUCCAUCUGCAUGAGCUGAGGUGAGACCAUGAUCUUCCUUGGGUGAUCCUCAUGUUUUCUCAAAUCUUUCAAGGGUUUGAUAAGUUUUAUGUUUGUUUUGAAGUUUUGAGCAAAAGAGCUAAGUUUGGAAGCUUGGAGACUUUGAGAGAGGAUUUCUCCAUAUCUCCACGUUGGGAUCAUUUAUUCUCUUGUUUGGAAGAGGUAAGUGAAGAUCCUGAACUUCCUUUCUUGAUUUUUAAAGGUUUUAUGGGAGUUUAUGGUAUAUAUGCAUGUGAAGGGUUAGUUGAGGUUUUUGGUGAUUUUUGUGUAUAAGCAUGUUUAAGUGUUGUGUUAUGGUUGUUGGGGUUAUAAGUUAGUUUUAGACCCCUUUGUGCAUAUACAAAAGUAUAUGUUUGUUGAGGAGUUGUGUGUUGCAUGUUGAGUGAAGUUUGGGGGCAGUUUGCAUGAAGUAGAGCAGGGUUCUGCCCUUCGGGCAAAAACCAGGUUCGGCCGCCGAAGGAAGGUUCGGCCGCCGAAUGUGCUAAGGAGGUGGUUUCGGCUGCCUAAGCUUGCUUCCGAAAAUUGGGACUUUCGUCUCUGGAGGCAAGGUUCGGCCGCCGAAAGUGCCGCCGAAAGCACCCGAGUUUCGUCUCUGGACGAGACUUUCGGCUGCCGAAGGUGCCGCCGAACAUACAUGAGUUUCGUCUCUGGAGGGGGGUUUCGGCCGCCGAACCUGCCGCCGAAAGUGCCCUGUCCAGCCUUCUCUUGCAUGUUUUAUGUGAUAGUUUUAAGAUGUUUUAGAGGGCUUUUGGGGAGUUUCUUAGAGAUGUUCUUGAGUUAGUUUGGUCCCUCAUUUGAGUCCACCUGUGUAGGAACGGACUAGAGGAACCAGGGAGAUCUGCAGUAAGCACUGCUUCAGAACCUGCAAAGUCAGUUCAGAGGCAACCAGAGGUGAGUGGAACUAAACGUAACUAUUUUAAUAUGAGAAAUCAAAUGCUUUUAGCAUGUUUCAUGCAUCAUGACCAUGUUAUAGGCUGAUUGCAUUAGAAUACACGAAUAUGUUGCAUUGCAUACUUUGUUGUUGAUGUGGGUGAAUGCUGGAUGAUCCAAUAGUCCCUAAGAGCUAGGUGCCUACCUCUACGCCCUGGCAUAGAUGAGAAAGGUCGGGUGCCUACCUCUACGCCUUGACAUAGAUAGAAAGACCAGGUGCCUACCUCUACACUCUGGCACGGUAUAUGGUAAGUAAUGAUAUGAUGUGACAGACAAACCAGUGGCCUACCUCUACGCCCUGGUACAUAUAUGAUGCUGGGACUAGUUGGUGACAGGUUUACCCUUGAUGUGGCUUGUUUGUGAUGUGAUGCAUUCCAUGAGAUCAUGUUUUAAUAACAUGUUUUAUAGUUCUGCUCACUGGGCUAGUAUAGCUCAUCCCUCUCCCUUAACCCGAGUCUUGCAAGUUCAGAGUCCAGAGGUCUACAACAGGGUACAUACAAAGAAAAGAGUUAUGUAAUAGCUAGUGUGGACAUGUAAUUCUAAAAGAUAGUUAUGUUGUACAGUGUAUAGCAUGGUGCUUGACAUAUAGGAGUUGUAAUCCUUUUGUAUACAUGAUCUUUUAUGGAAAUGUUUUACUUUAUGUAAAUGAAAAUCCAGGCUUAACAUAGUAUGAGUUUGACCCGCGUAGAGCAAAGAUGAGAGCUCUAGCAGGGGUUUUAUAGUACAAAGUUUAUGCUUGAACAGGUUAAGCCUUGGAGCAGAGAAAAGUUUUCAAUUUUUACAGAAAAUGUAUGAUCAUGUAUGGGAUUUCACAGGUACACAGAGUUCACAGCAGGCUUGCUACGGGUCCCGGCGGCCUUAAGCCAAACUGGAUCCUAGCGCCGGUAGUAGUUCGGUUUCCGGGCUGUUACACCAGCCUCAAUUCUUAUCAGAACAUAAUUAAAAAUAAAAGGCCAGCCUUGCUCAUCACCUUAAAAGGUACAUGAUCUGACUUAUUGUUACUCUGCAAAGGCUAUGUGCCCGAGACCAUAGUAAUAAAGUAACAAGAGAAAAAUGAGGAUGCCUUUGCAGAAAUCAUAAAAACUCAUAAGUUGAAAGUUCAACCCACUAUUAAAAACUGAGUUCACGGGUAAGGCUAGUCUAGCUCGGAAAGAACGUAAAAUAGGAAUACCUUAGUGAAAUAGAUAAAUUUAUAAGUUAAAAGUUCAGUCAAUUGAUAGAAUUUUAGUUCUGAUGGGCUUGAAGGCAAAAAGGAAAAAAUAGUAUAGUGGAAAAAUUACGAAGCAUAUAGUCUAAGUAUUUCAUUCCUGACAAGAUAGAAUAAGUAGCCCAGUGAAGCUGAAAAAGCAAGCAAAAUAAAAGAAAAGUAAAUUUCAUUAAAAGAAAAAUAUAUUACAGCCUAUUCUAAUUAUCUACACGAGAUGGAGGAAAAACAGUCCUUAGGGGACUUACAUGCCUAGGGGCAUUAUCAUCUACACUAUCCCCUACAUUAUCUACAUUUACAUUAUUUACAUUGCUGUCCAUGGGAGGCCCAGCAUCCUCCUGGUCAGACCCCUCAGUGCCCAAGAAAGUCACGAUCUCCUGCCCUUGAGGCCCAGCAUCUUCAUCUUCUAGCUCGGGUUCUACCCCAGAAGACCCGACUGUGGCGCGAGAGGCCCCCUUGAGCAAGGGCCUGUCGUCCUCCCCAUAAAGCACCUCCUCGCCAUCAGAGUCUACCUCCACGGCUCGAAGUUUAGCUAACGGGGCGGAGGGAGUAUAUCUGGCUGUCCUUAAGCCUCGGUUGUAUCCGGAGACGAACAUGCGGAAGCUCUUAUUCCAUAUGGCAGUUUUCAUUUCAUCAGAGCCUUGGAACUCCGCAAGUCACUUCUCACAGGCCUCAGCUACCUUGGCUUUAAAUUCAGAAGAACUCUUAUAAUCCUGGAGGCGAGCUUCACAGGCCUGCUCGAUCUCUUUUUUCAGCUCGGGGGACUCCUUAUACUCCAUCAGGCGUCUCUCACACUCGAGUUGGAUCCUGUCUUCAACGAGUCUAGCAUCCUCGAGCAGGGCUGAGCAUCUGUGCUGCAAAGUCUUGAUCUCAUGACGGAGCGCUUGAUUGUGAAGUUCAGACUCCUCUGCCGCUGAGGCCAGAUCUCUGAUACGGUCAGAACUCUUACUCAGCUCCUGCUCGAGAACCUCAACCUGAGCUAAGGCUCCUUCUAUUUGAAUUUUCACCUUGGCAAGAUGAGCCUGAGCUCCAUCGAAAUCAGCCUUCAGGGCCUCGUACUGACGCUGAACCUCAUCUCUCUGGCGAACAGCCUCGUCCUUUUCACGAAGGGCCUUUACCAUGGAGGACAGCUGCUUCAAGACUUCUUCACAGUGAACCUCAGCUGUAGCUGCCCUCUCGUUAGAUUCUUUGAGAACCCUCCGGGUGUGAGACAACUCCACUUCCAGGGACUUGGCAUGCUCAUGGGCCGCGGCUAGGUUGCUCCGAGCAUCGCUAGUUGCCGACAAGUUCUCCUCGAGACGCCCCUCCCCAAUAUGACGGUCCACGAAGUCCCUAAGAGCACGAUCCCGGGCAUCCAUCUCCAUAAAAAUGACUGUUGUCUGGCCAAAGAGAAGAACAAAUAUAAUCAGAAAGAGAACAUGGGUAGAAAUCAAUUAAAAUAGAGAAGAAAUGAGGGUGGAAUACCAUCAAGAGCAGCUCACGGGCAGUGUCCCCAAGCCGAUCUCUAGAUUGAGCACGGAAGGCCACCUAUUCUCGAGUAGAGCUAGCCAAAAGGCCAGAGAGAGCCAACAGGCGAGGAUCUGAAGCCUCUGCAACUCCACCAAACAUCCGCUCUAGAAUUAUCUCCGCGACCACGCUCGCUAGUGAUUGAUGGGUGAUGUCCUCUGCGUUAAGAAUAUCAUUAUCAGGGGCAGAGAGUAGCGACACCACCGAGGUCUUCUUCUUCUCGAGCGGAGGCAGAGCUGGGGCAACAUGUCUGGAGGCCCGAGGUCUCUUUGGAACUGGGGCAGUAGCGUCAGAGAGAGAAGGACGCUUGCUCCCAACCCCCUUAGCGAUGCCCUCCGAGGCAACCAAUGACUUCCCCUGAGGGAGAACUUCAUCCGCAGGCUCAGACUCAGCCCUCUCGAUGACAGGAGGGCCCUCAACAGCAACUUCUUGAUCAUCCUCGUCUACAAGGACGACCUCCACUCCUCCUUUCGGAGCCCUCUCUUCAAUAACGGAGACCUCCGGCCUCACCGUGAGAACCUCUUCUUCAGCGAAGGGAGCCUCAAACCUCACUUCUGGAGCUUCCUCAGAAGGAAAGGUAGGAUCCGACCUCGCCGGCCUAGUGUCCUCUGCCAGAUCAGAAAUGAUCCUGGGAGUUUCUUCUGUCCCCUUGUUAGAGGCACGUCGAGGCCGAGCUGCUUGAGAGGACUGAUGAGCCGAGCUCGAUCUGCUGCGGCGGGAGGGUCAAGACGACUUACUAUGUUGGGAGCUUGGCUUAGGAGCUUGUGAGGAGACCGGAUGGGGAGGAGGUCGGGUAAUCGACUUGGAAGAAAUAACCUUUGCCACCCUUUGAGUAGCCUCCCUCACGGAUUGCCCAGCCAAGAGGGCAUCCAGGGCAGCGUCCAUGCUCUCCCGGGACAGUAUGAGAUUCUUGGGAGGCUUGAUCUGAUCCAUCUUUACCUUAGAGGCUGCAAAAUUAAAAAUCAGAGCAACUCAGAACAGUUCUCAGCAAAGAUCACGUAAGCGAAAACUAAAGCAGGCAAAUAGGAUAGGAUACCCGCAUCCUUAAUAUCCCGAAGAUUGGACGCGAACAAGCAUUUUUCGACGUCAUACUUCUUCUCCAUAGAAGUCAGUCGAAGAAAUCCGACCUGGUCGGUGAGGCUCAACUGGGGCAGGUCGUUGCAACCCAGAGAGACAUCCUCCCAGGGGAGAUUGAGCUCCCAAGCCAACCCCGUCUGCUUCUUCAAUUCUACCACUAGAAACCCCUUUACCCAGCCCUUGAUGGAGUCCUUAUAGUCCGUAAAAAUAGAUAACCCUCCGCGAGGGGCAAAGUAGUAAAAUUUCUGGCUCGCUUUGACCAGCCUGAAGAAGCUGACGAACAGGUGAACCGUGGGUGUGAACCCCCAGCUUAGACACACAGAUUCAAAGCAAGACAUGAAAAGAACUGCUUGCUUGGUUAGCCAUGGUGGAUCUUAAUGGGUUUAUGUUUGAAAAACUCUAGUUGAUUGGAUAAUCUUCCUUCGUUUCCCGCAGAUGGCACCAAUUGAUAUGUUUGAGAUCUGGUGAGGUAAGGAGAUAUAGACACGUAGGCAAGGAGACAUAGACACGUAGGCAAGGGUUUGAUUUAUGGGGAAGUUAAUGGCUCUAAAUGGGUGGUGUGAGAGUUAAUAAGGCUGAAGAAUAUGGUUCGUGGAGGCUGAGAUUAUAAGGUGGGAUCUAGAGUUUUCUAUAUUGGUAGUCGUUGAAAAAUCUGUUCCCAAAGGGGAUUGGUCCAGGGGCAUUUAUACCCCAGUCAUGCUAGGGCGUUCUGACAGCCGUUCUUUUGAAUUGAACAAUGACAUGUCGUGGCAGGUAUGUUAAGCGGCUCAUUAAUGGCGGGUAAUCGGCUAAUAAAUGCUGAGCCGCUUGGCCCAUACUCUGUCCAUCACGCAUGUCAUUUAUGUCAGUCCUACAACACGUGUAAUUAUGGCCCUAGCGAGAUCUAGAGUACUUUAAAGAGGUCAGUCUACUUGCUCCGAACACUGGUAAGGUUGGCUUACUUGCUUCGGGUAUAAAUAAGAUCAGAGAUAUAGGAGGUUUGACCUGUAUAUUAAAUAGGUCAGAUUUCCUAAUGUUUGAUCAGACCGAAUGACCUGAUGCGAGAGACUCUCCUCUUUCUCUUGUACCCAUAUCGCUAUCUUAAGGGGAUCUGUUAUUAUUAUGUUAUCAAUACUAAAAUGGUAACCUAUCACACUUAUAAAUACAUUUUAAUAGCCUUAUAUUGUUUUACUGUAUAAAUACUUUGUUCUCUGUAAAAUUUACUAUAAACAUUUACUUCGACAGAAAAUAUGUUACAGUUAUCAGAAAUUAAUGAAAAAUUAUAUAAAGUACCCGGCAGAGCAAAGAUGUCUUGUUGAUCCAUUAUCUCCUUGGAGAGCUUAUUUCCUUUAAGAACUUCAAUUAUCUGUAUGACAUAUUCAUAAAAUUUUUAACUUUUAAAUUAUAUAUAUAAAUAAAAGUAAACUUGCUAAACUUUUAAGAGAAGAGAUAAAGAAUGUAUUUCUCACCCUUAAUUCAAGAGUAUACAGUAGCUUAUAUAUACGGUUCUGUUCCUAUAACUAAGGGAAUACAAAAUACAAACACACUUAAAUAAGAUAUGUACAGCUAAUACUCAGUAAGAUACUUAUUAAUAGAACGGAACUCCCCACCCCAAUCAGAUUGGAAGCUUUGCAUUUUAGUAUCAAAUUGGCGCUCUACCAGGGUGUGAAACUGAACAAACACAGAAUAGACAUCACUCUUCCUUUUAACUGGAAACAGCCAACAAAAGCGGGAAAAUUCAUCAACAAAUAAUGCAAAAUAGCGAUCUCCAUUAAAUGAUAACUCAGGAGCUGGGCCCCAGACAUCCCCAUGUACAAGUUCCAAAGGCUUAGUUGCAACAGAACCAGUGGGUGAUAAAGACAAUUGUGUAUGUUUUCCUAAGCAACAAGCCUCACAAAGUUGAGAUGUUUGCUUUAUUGAAGGACUAGACAAACUAAAUUGAGAAAUAAUAAAAGAAACAGUUGAGUGCUGAGGAUGACCCAAACGUGAGUGCCAAUCUGGUGGAGUACUACGAAUGGAAUUGAAAGCCCUUCUCUGUGAAACUAGUGGUAACGAAAACUUGUAUACCCCAUCUUCAGCUGGCCCUCUAAACAAUACGUGUUUACUUGGCUUGUGCUUCACAACAAACCCAUCAGAGUCAAAUUUAAAAGAACAAUGAUUAUCAAUAGCAAACUGAUUAACAGACAGCAACUGAUUUUGCAUAGAAGGAACAUGUAGAAUGUUAUUCAAUUUAAGCUGAGCAUGAGGAGUAGAAACAAAACGAUUCCCAAUAUGCUUAAUAGACAAACCAGAACCAUUACCUACAGUAACCUUGUCCGGUCCCGUAUACUCAUCUGAAAUAUCAAGCGCGGCCAAGUCUGGUGUCAUAUGAUGAGACGCAGCUGUAUCUGCAAACCAGGUGUUAGAGUCUUGAGAAACAUGAGUAGUGGCAGUAUUUGCAGUAAUCUUUUCUGUAUCCUGGUCAUAUCGUUUCCUACACCAUUUUGCUUGAUGAUUAUUUAAUCCGCAAAUUUGACACGGAUUAGGAUACCAGCGUUUAGAACCACCAGAAGAUCUAUUAGAACCAGAGUUGCCAAAGUUACGAUUAGAACCACGUUGUGACUGAGAUUGACGUGACCCAUUGUUGGUUUGCCUANNNNNNNNNNNNNNNNNNNNNNNNNNNNNNNNNNNNNNNNNNNNNNNNNNNNNNNNNNNNNNNNNNNNNNNNNNNNNNNNNNNNNNNNNNNNNNNNNNNNNNNNNNNNNNNNNNNNNNNNNNNNNNNNNNNNNNNNNNNNNNNNNNNNNNNNNNNNNNNNNNNNNNNNNNNNNNNNNNNNNNNNNNNNNNNNNNNNNNNNNNNNNNNNNNNNNNNNNNNNNNNNNNNNNNNNNNNNNNNNNNNNNNNNNNNNNNNNNNNNNNNNNNNNNNNNNNNNNNNNNNNNNNNNNNNNNNNNNNNNNNNNNNNNNNNNNNNNNNNNNNNNNNNNNNNNNNNNNNNNNNNNNNNNNNNNNNNNNNNNNNNNNNNNNNNNNNNNNNNNNNNNNNNNNNNNNNNNNNNNNNNNNNNNNNNNNNNNNNNNNNNNNNNNNNNNNNNNNNNNNNNNNNNNNNNNNNNNNNNNNNNNNNNNNNNNNNNNNNNNNNNNNNNNNNNNNNNNNNNNNNNUGCCGAUUAAGAUUAUAACACUUGAUAAUUGGGAGAAAUUGGGUUUUCCAAGCUAGGUAAUUGGUUUCCUUCAAUUUUAAAGAAAAUGAAAGCUGAGCAUGUGGUGGUGUGGAGAAUAGGCUUGAGGUUUGAAGGGAAAUAGAAGGAGACGGUGAAGAAGAAAGUACAGGAGCACUGGAAUCAGUUGAUUGGGGAGAUGUUGUCAUUAUAGGAUAGAAUGCUCUGAUACCAUAAGAGAAGAGAUAAAGAAUGUAUUUCUCACCCUUAAUUCAAGAGUAUACAGUAGCUUAUAUAUACGGUUCUGUUCCUAUAACUAAGGGAAUACAAAAUACAAACACACUUAAAUAAGAUAUGUACAGCUAAUACUAUCUUAACAGAACUUAUCAUUAACAACUUUGUUACCAAUUUUUUUGGUAAAUUAAAGUUUAGUUAUUUGUUUUUAAAAAAAGUAAAAUUUAGAUGAAAAUGAAACAAUUUUUAAAAUUAAGAAAAAACAAUCGAAUAAAAAUAACUUCAAAACAGCUGAAGCAUUAUAAAUUAUAGCAUAUACAAAAUUAGAGCUAAAAUAUAAAUAAAAAAAAAUUAAGUGCUAAAAAAUAAAAUAACGACAUCUUACCAGCCACGUGUACAAGCUCUUAAUUACCUGUUUUAUUUUUGGUCUAAAGGAUGAAAGUUUAUAUACGGAAGCAGCAGCACAGUAAACCAUUCUCAUCAUUUCUUCUAUAUUAUACUCUUUCAAAUUGGGAUCAACAAUACUUCUACAGUCAUUAUCGUUCAAAACUCGUCCAAUUCUGCUUUUAGCCUGAAUGUUUAUGAGUUAAAGUAUUUGUUAAUAACUUCUUUUUAGCACAAUCUAUAGUUAAAUCAAUAUAUGAAUUAGUGUCUUACCCAUUCAAUAAUUGUAAUAUUGUUUUGUGUAGGCUUUCUUCCAGAAAUCAAUUCUAAAAGUAUAACACCAAAAGCAUAAACAUCCAAUGCAUACGAAACUUUUUGUUUAUCACCAAAUUCUGUAUCUGCAUAACUACAGUUAAAAGGUUAAAAGUUUUUCUUUGCAAGUAAAAAAAUGUUUACUAGAUAUAUAAACCUUCAAAAUUAGUAUUUUUUUAUGAUUAUUUUAUUUUAUAUUUUUAUUUAACUUUUCAAAGUUUGUAAAAGAAAAUAUUCAAAAUAAAGAAUAACAGUGACAUAAUUAAAUUUGACUAUUAAAUUAAUAAUGAAUAGAUACAAUAUAAAUAAAUUCUUAAAAUAAACCUAUUUAUUAAUUAUGAAUUCAAAACAUAUGAACAUGAAUUUUAUAUAAUUUUUCAUCAAGAAUUCACAAUUUUUGAAUUUACGUACACUUUUUUCCAUAAAUAUAUCUAUAUAUAUCUUACACAUUAGUUCCCCUGAAUAUACUGGUGAUGUGGCCAACAUUACCACUGUCCGGCAAAAAAUUUGAAAGUGAAAAAUCUGCAACCUGAAUCAAGGAUUUAUGUAAAUUAGCGGUUUUUUUAAAAUAAAAUUUAUUAUAAGGGAAUACAAUAAAUUUAGAUAAUUUUUAUCCAUAAUUACAGAACUUUGAAUGUCUCGUUUCUAGCAUUUAAUUUUAAAUUUAUUUCAAUAAAAUUAUUCUAUUUUAAUUUUAUUUUAGAAUAAAGCACUCAAACAUAUUAUAAUAAGUCGCUGAGGUGCCAACCCCAUCUAUUUUCUUCGUCCUUUUAAUUUUUUUUGUUUAAUUAAUUGAUAAUUAUUUUAAAUUAAAAAAAUUAAUAAAUGAUUUAUUAAAAAGAUUAUUUUAUUUUAAUAAAUUUAUUAUUAAAUCAUAUAAAAUUAUAUGAUAUAUUUAUUAUUUAAUUUAAUUUAAUUAUUUACAUUUAAAUUCCGAAUUCAAAAAAUAAAAUAAAAUAAGAGUUUAAAAAAUUAUAAAUAAUACUAAAUAAUUAUAAUUAGUUAUAAUUAUAAAUAAUACUAAAUUUUAUAAAUAAUACUAAAUUUUUGUGAAUUAAUUUUUUUUUCAUGCAAACAAUACAUUAUAAGGCUAAAGAUGGCAAUGGUUACAAAAGUUGGGACAACUCUAAGAAAUUAUACAGAAACCAGCCCGAAGGCAAUAAAUUUUGUAAAGAAAGUUUAGCAGCUAAAUCCGCAAAACGAUUAAUUGCACCAGACACACGAAAAAACUUGAAACGCAAAAAUUUAGAACAAAAAUAAAAAAUAGCCAAUACGGUAGAACUAAUGUCCUAAGGAAGAGAGGGAUGAUUACCACUAAGAGCUGCAUAAAGAAUAGAAUCUAAAAAUAAAGAAUAGCCAAUACGGUAGAACUAAUAUUCUAAGGAAGAGAGGGAUGAUUACCACUAAGAGCUGCAUGAAGAAUAGAAAAAUUUGUCUCACACUUAAUAGCCCGAUAACCUACAUCCAAUGCCCAUAAAACACACUCCAGAACAGCUCGAGCUUCACCAACACCAACAUACAAACAUCAGAGUUUUUUUAGCAAAGCCAAAAAGAACAGUGCUCGUACUGUCAGAUGCAAUAACAACUAUAGCAGCAAAAAAAAAAAAACUAAGCUACAUCGCAAUUAAGUUUAACAACACUAGAAAGGGGAGGGUGCCAGGCUAAAUUUGGGGCACUCUCGAGAAGGCGGCCGACAAAGAGGAAUGAUAAGAAAAAAUGCUACUAAACUGAAAUUGAUGAAGAUCAUAAGAAAUCUGACGAGAAAUAGAGCGAGAAUUAGGCUGCAACCUGUUGAAAACAUAAUUAUUCCUUGCUUUUCAUAUAUGCCAUAACAUGACAAUAACCACCGUCAGGAGAUAAAGGCUAGAAGAAUAUAAAAGUGAAGAGUUCAACAAAUCCGCCCACCACUGGACAAAAGUAGAAAACCCAGUAGUAGAAGGUUGAUAGCCAGAUAGGCUGAGAAACUAAACUAUUCCAGAAAAAUUACAAAAGAAAAAUAAAUGUUCAAUAGUCUCAAAAGGGGAAUGACAGACUGGGCAAAGAGAGGAAGGCCUGAAUGUCAAUGGAGCAAAAAUUGGCAAAUACAAGUAAAGCCUCAUAAAAACCACACCAAAGAAAGAUACGUAACUUAGGGUGGCCUGAGUAGUCCAAAUACUUUUCCAUAUAUGGCUAGACAAAUGCAAAGAGCAAUCAGAAGGAUAAGCAUGGUUCAUCAGGAGACGAUAACUGAUUAACCACGGUUCAUCAGGAGACGAUAACUUGACCGAACUGUGUACUGCCAAUUGGACGUAAAAUGCCAAACCCAAGAAUCAGCUAUACCAAGUGGAGCAACCGGAAUGGCCAAGAUAAUAGGGACAAGAGGAGCAUCAAAGAGCAGAUGUACCAGUCAUUAAGGCCAAGUUAAAGAAUGAUGAUCGAUUAAGUCAGCCAGCUUAGUGAUGUUAGGAGAGUAAAAAGUUGGCUGUGGAGCAAAAAAUUGGGAUGUCAAAGGAAUCCAAGGAUCAGACCAGAAAGAAGUGGACAGACCAUCACCAAUAUUCAAGCGAGUACCAAGGCGAAGGACAUCGUGACCUGCAAGAAAGCUUUGCCACAUCCAAGAACUUCCUUGCUUAGAAGACAUAUACCAGAAGGAUGAUCGAGAAAAGUAAAUACCCUUGAGGAUGUUUGUUUUUUUUUUUAAAUAAAAUUUAUCAUAAGGGAAUACAAUAAAUUUAGAUCAUUUUUAUCCAUAAUUACAGAACUUUGAAUGUCUCGUUUCUAGCAUUUAAAUUUAAAUUUAUUUCACUAAAAUUAUUCUAUUUUAGAAUAAAUCUCUCAAACAUAUUAUAAUAAGUCGCUGAGGUGCCAACCCCAUCUAUUUUCUUCGUCUUUUUAAUUCUUUUGUUUGAUUAAUUGAUAAUUAUUAAAUUAAAAAAUUAAUAAAUGAUUUAUUAAUAAGAUUAUUUUAUUUUAAUAAAUUUAUUAUUAAAUCAUUAUUUUAAUAAAUUUAUUAUUAAAUCAUAUAAUAUUAUAUGAUAUAUUUAUUAUUUAAUUUAAUUUAAUUAUUUACAUUUAAAUUCCGAAUUCAAAAAAUAAAAUAAAAUAAGAGUUUAAAAAAUUAUAAUUAAGUAUAAUUAAAGGAUUAAUGAUUAACUUAAUUUAUUAGAACUUUUUCGAUAACUAACUAGACAAUAGAAAAAUUCAAUUCUCAAAAUGAAAUAUAAAGCUUAAUUUUAAGAAUAAAUGAUAAAAUAUUUGAUAAAAUAAAAUUAACAAACAUCUUCAUUAUUAACGAUGGAAUUUUAUAAAUAAUACUAAAUUUUUGUGAAUUAGUUUUUUUUUUUUUUUUUGCCAUGCAAACAAUACAUUAUAAGGCCAAAGGUGGCAAUGGUUACAAAAGUUGUGGUAAUUUUGAGAAACUAUACAAAAACCAGUUCGAAGGCAAUAAAUUUCGUAAAGAAAGUUUAGCAGCCAAAUCUGCAAAACGAUUAACUGCACGAGACACGUGAGAGAACUUGAAAUGGAAAAAUUUAGAACGAAAAUGAAGAAUAGCUAAUACGGUGGAACUAAUAUCCCAAGGAAGAGAGGGUUGAAUACCUCUAAGAGCUGCAUGAAGAAUGGAAGAAUCUGCCUCACACUCAAUAGCCUAAUAACCUACAUCCAAUGCCCAUAAGACACUCUCCAGAAUAGUCCGAGCUUCACCAGCACCAACAGAUGUACACAAGAGUUUUUUAGUAAAGGCAAAAAGAACAAUGCCCAUACUGUCAUAUGCAAUAACAGUCAUAGUAGCCAAAGAAAACUUAUUAUUCUAAGCUACAUCGCAAUUAAGUUUAACAACAUUAGAAGGGGAGGAUGCUAUGCCAAAUUUGGAGCACUCUCGAGGAGGCGACCGACGAAGAGGAACGAUCAGAAAAAAUGCCACUAAGCUGAAAUUGAUGAAGAUCAUAUGAAAUUUGGCGAGAAAUAGCGUGAGAAUUAGGUUGCAACCUAUUAAAAACAUAAUUAUUCCUUGCUUUCCAUAUAAGUCAUAAUGUGACAAUAACCACCGUUAGGAGAUAAGGGCCAGAAGAAUAUAAAAGCAAAGAGUUCAACAAAUAUGCCCACCAUUAAACAAAAGUAGGAAAACCAGCAGUAGAAGGUUGAUAGCUAGAUAGGCUGAGAAACCAAACUACUCUAGAAAAAUUACAAAAGAAAAAUAAAUGUUCAAUGGUCUUAGAAUGGAAAUGACACACUAGGCAAAGAGAGGAAGGCACUAAAUAUCGAUGGAGCGAAAAUUGGCAAAUACAGGUAAAGCCUCAUAAAAACAACGCUAAAGAAAGAUACGUAACUUAGGGUGACCUGAGCAGUCCAAAUACUUUUCCAUAUAUGGAUAGACAAAUGCAAAGAGCGAUCAGAAGCAUGAGCAUGAUUCAUCAGGAGACGAUAACCUGACCAAACUGUGUAUUGCCCAUUGGACAUAAAAUGCCAAACCCAUAAAUCAGCUAUACCAAGUGGAGCAACUGGAAUGACUAAGAUAAUAGAGACAAGAGGAGCAUCAAAGAGAAGAUGUACCAGUCGUUGAUGCCAAGUUAAAGAAAGAUGAUCGAUCAAGUCAACCACCUUAGUGAUGUUAGGAGAGCAAAAAGUAGGGUGUGGAGCAAAAAACUGGGAUGUCAAAGGAAUUCAAGGAUCAGAACAGAGAGAAGUGGACAGACCAUCACCAAUAUUCAAGUGAGUACUAAGGCAAAGAACAUCGCGGCCUGCAAGAAAGCUUUACCACAUCCAAGAACUUCCUCGCUUAGGAGACGCGUGCCAGAAGGAUGAGCAAGGAAAGUAAAUACCAUUGAGUAGACGGGCCCACAAACUAUCCUGGUUAUGAAACAAUUGCCAACACUGUUUUGCCAAACAAGCAAGAUUAAAAUUUUUAAAAUCCCAGCCAAGUCCACCAAUAAACUUUGAAGUACAAGACCGUUGCCGACUAAUCCAGUGCAUUUUAUGGCUAUGGACAUCAUUUCCCCUCCCAAAGUUAGAAAGCAAACUGUUUAGUUUGGACGACACUUGUUUAGGAAACAAGAAAAUGGACAUUGAGUAGGAAGGAAUAACAAAUAACAUAAAUUGAACCAUAGCAGCACAACCAGCCUGAGAGAGCAAUUUAUGUUUCCAAGAUUGAGUUUUCAAUCGAACUCUAUCCAAAACAAAUGAGAGAACCUAUUAACAAGAUCGACCUAAGAGAACUGGAAGGCCCAAAUAUUGACAAGACAAAGAAAUCUCUCGCAUUCCAAACUAUCGUAAAAUAGCACCUUUGAGAUUGGGAGGCGUAUGUUUACUAAAGCAAAGAUGGGACUUCUGAUAGUUAAUACCAAAAAGAGUACUUGUUUCUUGUCGAGAAGCACAGACAAAUAAUAAAGUAUCAUUAGCGAAAAGAACAUCAAGACUUGGAGGAUCAAAACGAGCUACCUUAAUACCCUUGAUAAGCCCAUUAGCAUGUGCUUAAGAUAAUAAGAGAGCAACUGUGAUACAAACAAAAACAAAUAAGGAGAUAACAGAUCCCCUGUCUAAUACCGCGGGAAAGCUGAAAGGGGUAGUAGGAACACCAUUAACUAAAACUAAAAAACUAAUUGUAGUAACACAUUGCAUGAUCAUUUAAAUCGAAUGGGAAGCAAAACCCAUCUGAGUGAGGACUUUCUAGAGAAAAAUCCAAUCCACUUGAUCAUAGGCCUUAUGCAUGUCCAAUUUCAAAACGAAGGAGUGAAGUUUGCUGGUUGACGUGCGAAGAUGGUGGAAAACCUCAUGUGCAAUUAAAAUAUUAUCCUGAAUUGCCCGAGAUAGAAUAAAAGCAGCCUGAUCUGGUGGGAUUAACAUAGAAAUCGAUGAUUUCAGCCGAUUAACCAUUGCUUAAAAAUGACCUUGUAAGCAAAAUUACAAAGGCUGAUAGGUUGAAACUGAUGAACACCAAUUGGGCUAUGACACUUUGGGAUAAGGACAAUAUUAGUUAUGUUCAUCUCAUGAAGCAAAAAACCAAUCUCAUAAAAGCGUCAAACUGCCAAACAUAACGAAGGCCUGAUAAAAAAUACCAGAGAAGCCAUUCAGGCCGAGAGCCUUGUCACCUCCUAAUUGAAAAAUAACUUGUUGAAUCUCUGCAUACAGGUCUUAGUAAGGCCUCAUUAAUAGCCAACAUAACCAAAGUAGGUACAACAGCGAGAACAUGAUCACAAUGCAGCAAAGAACCAACAGUAAAAAGUCUACAUAAGUAAUUACGAACAAAAGGCCUACGAACGAAAUCUUGCUCAAGCCAGGAACUAGACUCAUCCUGAAGUCAGACAAUGUGGUUGUACUGAUGACGGUGGAGUAUAGAGACAUGAAAAAAUGUGGUAUUGUGAUCCCCUUCUUUGAGCCAUUGAAUGUGGGAAUGUUGAUGCCAAUGUCAUUCCUCACUUUACAGCAAAGAGUGAAGCUGAGAUAAAAAAGACGCUUCAAUAUGAGCAUUGGAACUAGCGAAAGACUGAUUGUACAACACCUGCAACUGUCUUUGUAAAUUAUGUGCCUGAGUAACUGCAUUUUGAAAAACCUUAUGAUGCCAGGAACUUAAGCAAGAUUUACAAGAUUGCAGGCGAGGCAUCAGCAAAAACAUGGCUGAACCAUGAGAGGUAGUGUUCCAUGCCUGCUGAAUUACUUGAGAACAUUGAGGGUGUAAUAGCCACUUACUUUCAAAAUGAAAGACAAAGGAUCGCCUCAGUGGACCACCUGAAAGAGAUAACAACAGAGGCUGAUGGUUAGAGGCAAGCAAAUCCUCGUGGAGCAAUUGAGCUCGAGGGAAACUCACGAGCCAAUCAGGUGAAACCAAUGCACGAUCUAGACGUUGUUGAAUAGCUCAUUCCAAAUCUUUUGUUAAACCAAGUAUAAGAGGGACCUUUAUAAGGAAGAUCAAGUAAAGCACACGAACGUAUAAAAGCCUCAAAUUCUGCCAUUUGGGAUGAAUGAACAGAACAACCACCAAGCUUAUCCUCCUGACCACGGAUAGCAUUAAAAUCAUCGAUACAGCACUAAGGGAGAGAAGAAGAAGUGGACAAACGCAACAAAUCAUUCCACAGAAAAUUUUGAGAACUUAGAACAGAAUAACCAUAAACAAAAGUAAGAUACCAUUGGAUAUUAGUAGUAUCCACUUGUACAAUACAAUCAAUAAGAUAUUGGGUAACCAAGGAAGGGGAGAAAGAGAAAGGCUCAUUCCACCAAAGAGAUAAACCUCCUGCCCUACCCACCGAUUCUACAAAAAGAGAAAAAGAAAAACCACACCAUUGCUGCAAUCGCUGCAUAUAUGUACACUGUUGUUUAGUUUCCAUAAGGAAAACUAUGGACGGCUUGUAUUCACAUACAAGCCCCUGUAGAGCUGUAACCGUCAAUGAUUUACCAAGUCCGUAACAGUUCCAAACCAAUAACGUCAUGGGAUCGCAAGUGGCUCAAGGCUAGCCACCAUAGCCUCAGAAGAACUAACCGCACAGGUAGAAGUAAUAAUAGCAUCAGAGAACAAAGCACUCAGACGAGAAGCUGGAAUAACCGCAAUGUCCCGAAGACGUCACUGCCAAGAGCAAGGACGGACAGAUCCAAAGGAUCAAGGAGAGCAAAAUCCAAAGCCCUAUACUAUCAUGAUUGGAUGUAAAGAUGCUGAAAAAGCUGGGCGACGAUCCAUAAGCGAAAUAGAGCCUAUACCAUACUAGGUGGAUCACAGAAAUCAAGAUCACCAAAAUGUCAUUUCGGUCCUAUCAAACCAAUUGAAAAAGACUACGGCACCUCGUCUCGCACGGAUAGUCUUUUCCUUGCAGGUCCACUAACUCCGUAAAAGGUCCACUAGCUUUACACAGUUUAUGAUCUAAACUGACCAAAAUAACUUUUAAACCCAUUUUCUUCUUGUUCAAAAUGAUUAAUCUAAGUUAAUUAAUAGUUUUUGCUAGCUAUUCAUAAACCAAUCAAUUUUUUGAUAGACAAUCGAUGUGGCAUGCUACACAGCCGCAAUGAAAGCAGAAGAAAGGCAGAGUUUCAUAACGAACUAAUACUCAAACCUUGCUUGAACCAGAUUUAAAAUAAAAGCUAGAAACUAAUGAUUGAGAAACUUGAAAACGAAUCCGGAUGCAAAAAUAAAGCCUUCCCACGUCCAACUCAUCGGAUGAAGAAAUAGAGAUUAAACCAUCAAACAACGAAGCUAUGCGCUGAGCAUUAGCAUGCAUCCAUGUGUGUGGGGACAAACCAUACAGAGGAAUCCAGAAUUCCAUGGUAUAAAACUCAACCGCAUGGAUAGAGACGUCAGGGGACCAUCGUUGAAAAAGUAGAAGAUUACUGUCGAGAUUCCAAGGACCAUCCUUGUUGCAUGUAAUCUUGCACGCCUAAAGAUCAGCCCAAGAACGUGUCCACUUCAACCCAGAUUCUGUUACAACAGCAACUGGAACUGCAGCAACCAAAAAUACAUGGACGUGGCAUGAAAUCAGGAUCAAUCUUAAUGUAGUUUUUUUAUUUUAUUUAUUUAUUUAUUUUUUCAAUUAGCCAAACUAAUCUGUCUAUUUAAGAGGUGUAUCUAAGUAUCUCCAUGAAUUAAUUGUGUGUUCUUUUUCCAUCAGAAGUAUCUCUUUGGGCUCUAUCCUCUGUUUCUUAUCUUCUCCCCAGAAAAACCAGCAAACCCAGUUUUGCUCAGUUCUGAGUUUUAUACCAGCAAACACAGUUGCUCUGUUCUUAGUUUUAUUUAAAGCCUUACAUUUGGUAUCAGAGCCUUGGACCUAGUUUAUGCCCAAAUACAUGCCACGGCACGAAUCUUCAUCGUCCAGUGCUGUCCGUAGUGGUAACAGCGGCAAUACUGGCCAGACGACAGAAACUGGACAGACGGCAGAAAUGGUAGUGAGAGCGCCCGUAAGAGAAGGGGGUAUCUCUCUGCAGUACCCGCUGUUAACAAAAACGAAUUACUCAGUGUGGGCAAUCAAAAUGGAGGUAUACAUGCAGGCUCAAGGUGUAUGGGAUGCUGUGGGAUCCGAAGGCCCUGUUGAUCCACGAAUGGAUCGAAUGGCUCUAGCCGCUAUAUUCCAAGGUAUUAGUGAGGAGACACUACUGCAAUUAGGAGCCAAGAAGUCCGCCAAGGAAGCUUGGGACGCGCUGAAAACCAUGAAUCUCGGUGCAGCCCGAGUGAAAGAAGUCAGAGCACAGGCACUCAGAUGGGAGCUCGAAGGUUUACGCAUGGAGGAUAAUGAAUCUGUAGAUGAUUUCACUGGCAGAAUAUCCACCAUUGUGAACAAAUUGCGGGGACUAGGAGAGACCGUUGACGAGGUGUAUGUUGUCAAGAAGAUGCUCCGAACAGUAUCUCCGAAAUACAUCCAGUUAGCUUCGACAAUCGAAGAAUUCAGCGACCUCACAACAAAGACUAUUGAAGAAGUCACUGGUUCGUUGAAGGCUCACGAAGAACGACUAAAAGGUCGAGAUCUCAAAGGUGAUGAACAUGUCUUAUUCACCCGUGGAGAAUGGAAAGCACGAGGUGAAACUUCAGGCACAGGUGGAAAACGAUCAAAAGAUCAAGGGGGAUACCGAGGUCGUGGUCGUGGACAAGGACGAGGCAGAGGCCGCGGAAAUGGCCGUGGCAGAGGUAGAAGUAAAUCUGAAGGAGGCAGAGGCUAUGACAGAGAUGGAAACCAACACCAGAAGUUUGAUAUUAACAAAGUGAGGUGCUAUAAUUGUAACGAUUAUGGUCACUUUGCAUCUGACUGUAAAUCAAAGAAGGAAAAGGAUGAGAGAGCCCAUCUAGUAGAACAAGUCAAUGAGGAACCAACAUUGCUCAUGAUGGAGACAUGCCAGCUAGUCCAUUCAGUUGAAAUGGAUGAAGACAAAGUGCUGUUGAGUGAAGAGAGAUUUGUUCCAAGUCUCGGAUCAGUUAAAGCCGAGCCAGAAGCCAUGAUUUGGUACUAUGAUACCGGGGCAAGUAAUCACAUGACAGGAAACAGCUCAGCCCUCACAAACUUAGAUGAAAGUGUACAAGGAAGAGUACGCUUCGGAGAUGGCUCAGUUAUAGACGUUAAAGGCAGAGGAUCAGUGGUAUUUCAGUGUAAGAAUGGGGAACAUCUUACCAUAACAGAUGUGUAUUACAUCCCCAAGUUAAAGAGCAACAUCAUAAGCCUUGGUCAGCUGGAUGAAUCUGGGGCAAAAAUCAUAGUUGAAGGAGGAUACCUGCGAGCUUAUGAUAUCAAAGGGAAGCUGAUAACAAAGAUUCCAAGAGCAUCAAACAGGUUGUAUUCAAUGAAGAUGAAACAAGUUCAUCCUGUAUGUCUGAUGACAAGCAUAACAGAAGAGGCUUGGCUCUGGCAUGCCCGGUAUGGUCAUUUGAACUUCUCUGCAUUGAAGAAACUCGCACAAGAGAACCUGGUUGUGGGACUACCGGAACUUGAUCAGGUGAAUCAAGUAUGCGACGGAUGUUUAAUCAGCAAGCAACAUCGCAUGAAGUUCCCGAAAACAUCAAAAUAUCGAGCUGACAAACCUCUGGAAUUGAUACACGGAGACAUAUGCGGGCCAAUCUCUCCAACAACACACGGUGGGAACAGAUAUUUCCUGCUACUGGUUGAUGAUUACAGUAGAUUCAUGUGGAUAGAGAUGCUGAAAAACAAAGGUGAUGCAUUAGAAGCCUUUAAGAAGGUGAAAAUGGAGAUAGAGGUCCAAUCUGAAAGAAGGAUCAAGAGCUUUAGAACGGAUCGAGGAGGAGAGUUCACUUCGAAUGAAUUCAAUAAAUUCUGUGAAAAGCACGGUAUAGCACGACAGCUUACUGCCCCAUACUCACCUCAACAGAAUGGUGUUGUUGAGAGAAGAAAUCAAACAGUGGUGGAGAUGAUCAGGUGUCUAUUAAGCAGUAAGAACGUACCAGCAACCUAUUGGGGUGAAGCGGCUCGGACUACAGUAUACAUUCUAAAUCGUUCAGUCACUGAGAGUGUCAAGGGAAUGACUCCUUAUCAAGCAUGGUACGGGAAGCCACCGAAAGUGCAUCAUUUACGUGUUUUUGGGUGCACUGCAUAUGCAAAGAUUACUGGUACACAUCUCAGAAAGCUAGAUGAUAGAAGCAUCAAGUUAGUCAUGCUUGGCUAUGAACCGGGUUCUAAGGCGUACAGGCUUGUAAAUCCAGAGACAAACCAAAUAAUCAUAAGCCGUGAUGUGGUGUUUAAAGAAGGAGAAAGCUGGAACUGGGAGAAUCAGAAGAUAAGCUCAAGACACAGCGUAGAUAAUUCCUUGACAAUCACCUAUUCACAUAAUGCAGAACGGAAGAGCGCUACGCAGACACCAGGUACACCUCAUUCACUUGCAAGUGAAAAUCAUGAGGACACUCAAACUGAAACUGAAACAGAAGAGGACAGCCCCAUGGGACCAAGAAGAUUUCGAUCUCUGCAAGAUAUCUAUGACACAACUCAUGAGGUAGAGCCAGACAUGAGUCUAUACUUUUUGUCAGUAGAAGAACCAGUGUCCUAUGAGGAAGCUGUAGGGAACGAAAAUUGGAGACAGGCCAUGGUUGAGGAAAUAGAUGCCAUAAGGCGAAAUGGCACCUGGGAAUUAGUUGAUCUACCAGAGAAGCAUAGAGCCAUCGGGUUGAAAUGGGUUUUCAAGCUGAAGAAAAAUCCAGAAGGCGAGAUAAUCAAACACAAGGCAAGAUUAGUGGCGAAAGGCUAUGUUCAGAAGAAAGGCUUGGACUUUGACGAGGUCUUUGCCCCUGUUGCACGCCUAGAAACAAUAAGACUGCUCCUAGCAAUUGCGGCACAAGAAGGGUGGAAAGUACAUCAUUUGGACGUGAAAUCUGCAUUCUUGAAUGGAGAAUUAGCGGAGGAGGUUUAUGUGCUACAACCGAUCGGAUUUGUGGAGAAAGGUCAGGAGAAUAAAGUUUUUAAGUUAAAUAAGGCUCUGUAUGGUCUGAGACAAGCUCCAAGAGCUUGGAACUCAAAGCUUGAUCAGUGUCUCCAGGAACUUGGUUUUGACAGAUGCAUCCUUGAACAUGCUGUGUACAAGAAACAGUCAGGAAAGAGUACACUUGUUGUUGGUGUCUAUGUAGACGACCUUAUUGUGAUGGGAUCAGAACCAGAAGAAGUGAAGAGAUUAAAGGAUCAGAUGCAGAGUAUUUUUGAAAUGAGUGAUCUCGGGCUGUUAAGUUACUAUCUAGGGAUUGAAGUCUCUCAAGGGUCUGAGUGUAUUACUCUCAGUCAAGCUGGGUAUGCAGAGAAAAUACUCGGAAAGUUCGGCAUGAUGGACUGUAAACCUUGUCGUGUCCCGAUGGAUUCAAGAACAAAGCUGAGCAAGAAAGAUGAAAGUCCUUUAGUUGACGCUACGCUAUACAGGAGUGCUAUCGGGAGUUUGAGAUACUUAGUGAACACUCGGCCUGAUUUAGCUUACUCUAUUGGCAUCGUAAGUCGGUUCAUGGAGUCUCCGACAUCAAAACACCUGGGGGCUGUAAAACAGAUACUGAGAUACAUCAAAGGAACCUUAAAUUACGGUUGCAGGUAUGUCAAAGAAGAAAGGAAAGAGUUGAGACUGAUUGGUUAUUGUGACAGUGAUUUGGCAGGGGACAUUGAUGAUCGUAAGAGCACGUCGGGAGUAAUUUACUUCCUUGGAAGUAAUCCUGUUACAUGGUUCUCGCAAAAGCAGAAGGUCGUGGCGUUAUCUUCGUGUGAAGCUGANNNNNNNNNNNNNNNNNNNNNNNNNNNNNNNNNNNNNNNNNNNNNNNNNNNNNNNNNNNNNNNNNNNNNNNNNNNNNNNNNNNNNNNNNNNNNNNNNNNNNNNNNNNNNNNNNNNNNNNNNNNNNNNNNNNNNNNNNNNNNNNNNNNNNNNNNNNNNNNNNNNNNNNNNNNNNNNNNNNNNNNNNNNNNNNNNNNNNNNNNNNNNNNNNNNNNNNNNNNNNNNNNNNNNNNNNNNNNNNNNNNNNNNNNNNNNNNNNNNNNNNNNNNNNNNNNNNNNNNNNNNNNNNNNNNNNNNNNNNNNNNNNNNNNNNNNNNNNNNNNNNNNNNNNNNNNNNNNNNNNNNNNNNNNNNNNNNNNNNNNNNNNNNNNNNNNNNNNNNNNNNNNNNNNNNNNNNNNNNNNNNNNNNNNNNNNNNNNNNNNNNNNNNNNNNNNNNNNNNNNNNNNNNNNNNNNNNNNNNNNNNNNNNNNNNNNNNNNNNNNNNNNNNNNNNNNNNNNNNNNNNNNNNNNNNNNNNNNNNNNNNNNNNNNNNNNNNNNNNNNNNNNNNNNNNNNNNNNNNNNNNNNNNNNNNNNNNNNNNNNNNNNNNNNNNNNNNNNNNNNNNNNNNNNNNNNNNNNNNNNNNNNNNNNNNNNNNNNNNNNNNNNNNNNNNNNNNNNNNNNNNNNNNNNNNNNNNNNNNNNNNNNNNNNNNNNNNNNNNNNNNNNNNNNNNNNNNNNNNNNNNNNNNNNNNNNNNNNNNNNNNNNNNNNNNNNNNNNNNNNNNNNNNNNNNNNNNNNNNNNNNNNNNNNNNNNNNNNNNNNNNNNNNNNNNNNNNNNNNNNNNNNNNNNNNNNNNNNNNNNNNNNNNNNNNNNNNNNNNNNNNNNNNNNNNNNNNNNNNNNNNNNNNNNNNNNNNNNNNNNNNNNNNNNNNNNNNNNNNNNNNNNNNNNNNNNNNNNNNNNNNNNNNNNNNNNNNNNNNNNNNNNNNNNNNNNNNNNNNNNNNNNNNNNNNNNNNNNNNNNNNNNNNNNNNNNNNNNNNNNNNNNNNNNNNNNNNNNNNNNNNNNNNNNNNNNNNNNNNNNNNNNNNNACUAAACCAUUGCAGCACUGAAGUCUGCAACACCGCAUGCACUGUUCAUUCACUGUUUUUUCUUUUCAUUUUUUUUUUAUAUAACUCUAUACCACCUAUCAAGGGGUUCUUUGAAUUUUUUUUUUUUGGAUUAUAUUUUUGUGAAUUAGUUAUACAAGCCGUAUGAAAAAAAUAAAACUUUUUUUAGUUCAAUACUAACUAAAUAUUAUUAUUUUUAAAACAAAAUUUUGUCACUAAUUUGAAUAAUGAAAAGUUAUAUUUUCAAUAUUAAUUAUUAAGUAUUUUAAAUAUAGAAUUGAACUAGUUAUGAGUUUGAGACAUUAAUAAAAGUAAGUAUUUACUAAUUAAAUAAAAAUAAAUUAAAAUCUUAAAAUUAAUUUAUUGUCUAAGUUUAGUUUUCAUUAAUUUGCUUAAUAAAAUUUAAAAUAAUAAUAAUGAAUUGAGUAAAAAAUAGUAAGUAAAUUAUUUAUUAAAUUUAUUGAAUUAAAAUUUUAUUUAAAAUAAAAUAAUUUUAUUAAAAAAUAAUUUUAAUUUCUUUGAAUGUAAAAAUGAGAGUGAUGAUCCAAAAUGAUUAAUUUAAUUAACAAUAAUUAAAUUUUAUUAUUAUCAAGCUAAUUAUCCAAAAAAAAUCCUAAUAACAUGUUAAUAGUUGAUACUUAAUUUUAGCUAAUUAUAAUUUUUAAAAUUUUAAAUUGUAAAAUGCAAUUGAAAUUUUAAAUUCAAAUUCAAAGUUAAAUAGCAAAUAUAUCAUAUAAUUGAUUGAAGAAUUUAUUAAUAAGUUUAUUAAAAAAAUUAAUAUUAUUAAUUAAUGAAAUGUAAAAGAUGUAAGAAAGGAAAGAGAGUGUGGAUAGAAUGGUUAUUAACCUAAAAACCUAUUUUAACGGGUUAGGGUGAUUUAAAAAAAAAUAAAAUUAAAUAAUUUUAUUGAAAUAAAUUAAAAUUAAAUGAUAAAAAUAAAAUAAGACUUAAAAUUUAAGUGACUACAGAUGAAAUUACUCAUAAGUUUAUUAAUUUAUAUUCAAACUCACCUUUACAUUAAAGUUAUUAUCAAGAAGAAUAUUAUCUGAUUUCAUAUCUCGAUGUAUAAUGGUCCGUUCACUUGAUAUACAAUAAUUUUAAAAAAAUAAUUAAUAAUAUUAAAAAGAAAUAAAAGAAGAAGUUAAUCUUAGAAAGCAGUAAAAUUACUCACAGCUUUCAUGUAAAUGUAGCAAUCCAUUUGCAGUUUGUAAGGCAAUUUUCAUUCUCGUUCGCCAAUCCAAAGUAUUAUGGUCAUCUGUUGAAAACACAAAUAAUACUCAAAAUAUAUAUAUAUAUUUUUGAAUAAUUGAUUUGAGUUUCUACGUAAUUAAGAGUAAAAGGACUCACGGUGUAGAUGGUGUGUCAAGGUCUUGUUGGGAACAAACUCUAAAACAAGCAAUCUAUUCAAUCCCUCACUGCAGUAACCAGUCAUCUUAACAAUGUUUGGAUGAUCCACACAUGUAAGGAACUCACUCUCCUCUAAUUUAUUUAAUUUAUCUUCAGGGUAUAUUCUUUUAAGUUUCUUUACAGCAACAUCUUUACCAUCUAAGAAUGCCCUGUAGACCAGUCCAAAACCACCCUCGCCAAGGAGAUAGUUAUCGUUGAAACCUUCAGUUGCAACUCGUAAUUCGUCGAAAGUAUAUUUCUUCAUCUGAUGUCUUUGAGCAUUCUCAGAUGUAAUCGACUGGUGAAGUGGCGCAGCAGCUAAUGUGGAUCUAUCAUCUGAAAAAAUGCCACAAUUAGUUACUUCUAAUAGGAAAUGAAAUGGAUUCCUUCAUGGAAUGAAUCCUCAUAUAUUGAAAGAAAAAAAAAAACGUCAGUUUAAUGAUGGGAAAAAAAAAAUCAUAGAUUUACAACUCAAGAGGCUCUUUAGCUAUAACUAAAACAAUACCUGUGUCAGUUUGGCAGCGAUCUGCCUCAGAAGAGGGCUGGCAGCAGCAUAAAAAAAGUUGCAGAGUCUCUGCAGUUUUCCCCAUGGUGACAAAUAUGCUGGCCGGAGAAGCUUAUACUCCUAUAUUCUAAUAGGUUGAGCAAGAGGGAGGCCGGGUGGGUCUGAAGGUUGACUUUUUUUCAUUUGUGGUCUUUUUUUCUUUUUUUUUAAAUGAUUGUUAACUCUGAGAGUUUUUUUUUUUUUCCCAAAUGAAAACAAAACUUUUUUUUUUGAAUGCAAACCAAUCUUCUAUCUUCUAAUACAAGGCUGAAACAUUAGGAAAAUUUUUACCUUUUAAAUGUUUUACUUAUUAAUUUUAUUAAUUAAUGCAACAAAGACAAAAUCAAGGAAUUAGUAUUUGAUAAUAAUUAAUAAAUAGAUUUAAUCUAGUAGUAAGUGCAUCUAAGUAAAUUUCAGAGAUUUCAAGUUUUACUCUACAAUUUCCGAGUCUCAUUUCAAAAAAGGAAAAAAGAAAAAAAGUAAAAUGGUUAAAUCGAUAGAACUAUAUAUAAGUACAUUCUUUUCAAAUAAAAACAUAAGAACGAGUAUUGUCUCAAUUUCUAUAUUUCGAUUAAGUUUUUUUCUGAUUAAAUCAUUUUAUUACAUCUUUUUAUUAUGGUAUUAAAUAUAAGAUUAUUUAUUUUUAUGGUGCCAAAAUUUAAUAUUAAAUAUUACAUUAGAUUAGCAUAAAAAUCAUUUAUGAAAUAAUAAUAAUAAUAAUAAUAAUAAUAAUAAUAAUAAUAAUAAUAAUAAUAAAAGAAGAAAGAAAAAUAUUCAAUGAAUGCUAAACACGGAUGUUUAGCAUGCCUUAAAAGUACUUUUACCAUUACAGCAAACUAUGCGGGAUUAUAUAUAUAUUCAGGUACUUACACAAUCAAAUAUUUCCCUAAAGACACCUUUGCACCCUAAAUCCUUGGGUGUCACAAAUCAUUUUGAUCUUUGAUAUUAUAGGAUAGGUCAUUAUUUUGAUAUUUGGUAUUAUAGGAUAGGUCAUCCCUCGAUAUUUAGAAUAAAAAUAAAUCCUUCGCAAAAUCUACUUGAUAUUAUAUUUAUAGAAAAUGUAUAUUAUUAUGCAUUUGCUAAAUAAAAAGCAUUGCAAUUUUCUGUAAGCACUUCUAAAUUCGACGCAACAUUUGACCUUAUAUAUGUUGAUAUUUGAGGACUAAAAUCUGUACUUGCUAUCAAUAAUCAUAAAUACUUUUUUACCAUAAUUAAUGUUUUUACUAUACAUUUGUUGAGUUUUAAAUCUCAAACUAGAGAAUGUUUUUGCAGUCAUUCUUUACCUUAGUUGAGACUCAGAUUUUAAAUCACAAUCAGAAAAUGAGAAGUGAUAAUGGAAUUGAGUUCUACAUGCCUGCCUUCAUUGAUUGAAAAAGCACAAUUUACAAAAUCUCCUAUGUUGAGACACCUCAGCAAAAUGAUACUGUAAAAAGAAAAUAAAUAUAUUGAAUGUGGUUAGAGUUAGGGCUGUACAAUCGGCCGGUUCGGUUCCGAACCGAACUGAACUGAAAAAAUUGAAAAUUAAAUUGUAAAAAUAUUGAAAACCGAAAAAUCGAUUAUGAAAAUAUAAUCAAAUCAAACCUAAUCGAUAAAAAUCAGUUCGGUUCUGUUAUUUCAAACCGAAAUCUGUAAAUUUUUUUUAGUUUUUUGCUUCUAAUUUUAGGAGAACAAUUCAGUAAGUAUUUCAUAUAAAUUUACCAAUUAAUAUUAUCUGAAUACAUAAUGAUAAUAUUUAAAAAGUCCAUAUAAAAUUUAAAAGUACGUAUAAAAUCAGAAUUUCACAUAAUAAAUUCAUCAUAACAUAUAAGCCCAGUGGCAAUCAAAUGGCCGCCUGUGGCAGCGACCAGAUUGGACAAAUUGAAGCAAGCUCUGGCGACGGACAAAGUUCAAGGAUUGCAGCGGCGCUACGUGGAACCAAAAGAGAAUGAGGCACAAAUGCCUCAACUGAUAGUGGAGGUAUUUUAGGGUUGGAAAGGUCAAAUGACCUUUCUAUCCCUACCAUUUUAAAUAAUUGUGUUGGCCAUGUUAAUAAUGUACAUAAUACUAGUGGUUGGAUAUUUGAUUCCAGAGCCCCAAACACUAUGACCAAUGAUCCUUCAGAUAUUAUUUCCCAAACUCCACCCACCAAAUCCAAUAUCUUAAACGCUACCGGUGGCUCAUUCUCAAUCAUCAGUGGUGGUAUCGUUUCUAUAACCCCACUUUAAAUGUCUCCAACUGCCUCUAUGUACCCACCUUAUCUUGCAAAUUACUCUCCGUCAGUCAAAUCACCAAGCAGUUAAAUUGCAAAGUACUCAUAUAUCCUUAUUUUUGUGUUUUGCAGGAUAUUUAUACGGACACGAUACUGGGUCAUAGUUCUGAGAAAGAUGGAUUGUACUAUGUGGAGGAGGUCUCGAGCACGGGUCAGUUCAGUUAGCUCAAGGGUCUUCAACCCGAUAGUUGUAACUCUGGCACCGGCGCUUUGAACAUCCCUCAAGUGAAUACCUUCAUGCUUUGUUUCCUGAAUUUAAAUCCAUUGAUAUCCUUGUUUGUUCUUCAUAUGUACUUGCUAAAAGUCAUAAGAGUACUUAUCAUAUUUUCGCAAAUAAAUCUGAUACUCCAUUCUCAAUAAUGCACUCUAAUGUAUGGGGCCUGCCCUAAAAACUGUUUCUCAUGAUUAUAGAUACUUUGUUACUUUUAUUAAUGAUUGCACUCAUGUUACUUGGAUCUACUUGUUGAAACAUAAAUACGAAGUGGCUGAAGAAUUUUGCAACUUUUUUCGCAUGAUUAAAACCCAAUUUCACAGCACCAUUCAAGUCUUCCAGUCUGACAAUGGGGGGGAAAAUUUGUCAAUAAUCAUCUUCAAACCUUUUUUCGGGACAAUGGAAUCAUUCACCAAACUACUUGUCCAUAUACCCCACAGCAAAAUGGGGUCAUCGAAUGAAAAAAUCGACACAUCCUUAAAACCACCCAAGCCUUAUUGUUUGAAGCCGGGUUCCUUCUAAGUUUUGGUCCGAAGCAGUUGUUACUUCUAUUUACCUCAUAAAUAGACUCUCAUCUCGGGUCCUUAAUUUCCGAUCUCCAUUGCAUACCUUGUCUUCUCAUCACACCAUCCUUUCCCAUUUAAACCUUUCACAUUCCUAAAUCACAUUGCACUAAACUUGAUCCAUGUGCUCUUAAGUGUGUGUUCUUCAGUUAUGGUGUCCAUAAAAAGGGCUAUUGAUGUUUUGACCCAAUCUCUAAACGGCUCUUCACCACUAUGGACUGCACUUUUCUUGAAGACAAGUAUUUUUUCUCCUCACUAAUUGGCAAUAAGGGGAAGAAUAUAGCAGAACCACCACUUCCAAGUUAGCUUAGCUAUCCUUAGGGAGAGUCAGAAAAUCCUUAAGGGGAGUUAGAGACUGUCCAUCCACUUUCUCUUACUGAGUCUACACCAGAACUUGGAGACAUUGAUCAUCUAGUACAGUCAUCAAUCUCAACGCUACAACCAGAGCCUGCCACCGUAGAAUAUCCUAAGGAAUACGCCACUAAGGUAUAUGAACUUGAACCCUCUCCUUCCUCUAAUAACUUUACCACUGAACCCAUCUCCCUUGAGUCUCCUGAAACAGGCCACUAUGUACUACCCCCUCGAAGUAACAGAGGAGUUCCACCUAGGAGGUAUGAUCCAUAAUUCGAGGCAGCUAGAUCUAAGUAUCCUGUGGCAAAUAUUACUAGAGGAGAGAAUCUAUCACCUCAGUUUAUCACACUACAAAAAAAUAUUUGCUUAGAAUGGAUACCAAAGGAUGUCAUAGAGGCCCAGAAGGACAAGAGAUGGAUUGAAGCAAUGGAGAUCGAGAUGGAUGCCUUGGAGAAAAAUAAAACCUAGGAGAAAUGCUGGCUACCCAAGGGAAAACGACCAAUGGGAUGCAAAUGAGUAUUUACUAUAAAGUAUAAGCCAGAUGGAACGGUGGAUAGAUAUAAAACCCGAUUGGUAGCAAAAGGAUACACUCAGACCUAUGGAGUCGACUACUCUGAAACGUUCUCUCCAGUAGCAAAAAUUGAUACAAUGGGUCCUAUUCUCUCUUGCUGCAAACCUAGACUGGCCACUUCACCAAUUUGAUGUGAAGAAUGCUUUCCUGCACGGUGGCCUAAAAGAGAAAGUUUACAUGGAUGCUCCACAAAGGUUCAUGAGUGGAUAUAGACGGGGAGAAGUGUGUCGAUUAAGGCGAGCCUUGUAUGGGUUGAAACAAUCUCCCAGAGCAUGGUUUGAGAGAUUUACUCAAGCAAUGAAGAAAUAUGGAUAUCGACAGAGUAACUCCGAUCACACCCUGUUCUUGAAGAGACGAGGAAGAAAAAUCACGUGUUUGAUUAUAUACGUGGACGACAUGAUUAUAACAAGAGACAAUAUGGACGAGAUCAAACGGUUGAGGGAUAACUUAUUCUAAGAAUUUGAGAUGAAAGACCAGGGGGGUUAAAAUACUUCCUUGGGAUUGAAGUUCUCAAGUCAGACCAGGGAAUCCUGAUAUCACAGAGAAAAUACAUCAUUGAUCUGUUAGCCGAAACAGGAAUGAUAGACUGCAAGCCGGUUGAUACUCCAGUAAUGGUCAAUCAUGAGUUGAGCAAAGAUUCAGAAGAAGGACCAGCAGAUAGGGGGAGGUACCAGAGACUAGUAAGAAAGCUGAUUUACUUAUCACACACCAGACCAGACGUGGUGUAUGUUGUGAGUUUAGUAAGUCAGUUCAUGCACGAUCCAAGACAAGACCAUAUGGAGGCAGCAUUGAGGAUCGUUCGAUAUCUGAAAGGAACUGCUGGGAUGGGCAUGUUGUUCAAGAAGAAUGGUCAUCUCAGUAUCAGUGGAUAUAUGGAUGCUGAUUGGGCAGGAGACCGUUCCGACAGACGAUCCACUUUAGGAUAUUUUACCCUCGUUAGAGGUAACUUGGUGACAUGGAAAAGUAAGAAGCAAAAGGUGGUGGCAUUGUCGAGUGUUGAAGGCAGAAUUUAGGGGAAUAGCAAAAGGACUUGCAGAGCUACUAUGGAUCAGAAAGUUGAUGUUUCAGCUUGGAUUUCCAUCAGGGGAUUCAGCUGAACUUCGUUGUGACAACAAGGCAGUAAUCAGUAUUUUCGAAAAUCCUGUUCAACAUGAUCGAACAAAACAUGUUGAAAUAGACUGACAUUUCAUCAAGGAAAAGUUGGACAAUGGUUUGAUAUCAUUACCGUUUGUUUGAUCGAAAGAUCAGUGGGCAGACAUCCUAACUAAAGCAGUUACUGGACGAAUAUUACAUGAAGUUUUGGGCAAGUUGGGCAUGUUGGAUCCACAUGAACCAACUUGAGGGGGAGCGUUGGAAAGAAUAUUCUGCCAUAAUUGUAAUUAAUCAGUGAUUAACAUUACCAUAGUUAGCAUAAUCCUAGCAUGAUUCUAGGCAAUAAUUGAUAGCAUAAUUAUAGGCAUAAUUGAUUAUAUCAUGUACUAUAUAAAUAUUGUAUCCUAUUACACAAAAAGCAAGAAAAUAAAAAAUAUUUUUCUUUCUAUAAUUCUAGAAGCUCAACAAGAUUCCUAUGACGGACUCUGCUUAUGACCCUAAUCUCCUCCUUCAUAAUUGCUUGAGUUUGUUCAUCUGGUUGAUUUUUAAGUUUCUUAACAACAUAGAGUUUAUCAUCUAUCAAUCCCUUAUAGACUUGACCAAAACCACCCUCGUGAAGGAUUACUUUGUUGGAGAAAUGGUCAGUUGCUUUUGCUAGCUGCAUAUAAGUAAAUUGCCUCAACCCACAUCCUUAACUUUAACAUCUAUCAGGAUCUGUACCCGGUGAGUUGUGAGACGGCAACACUGGUGGCAGAGUUCUAGAACCUGAGAAAAAUCACAGCACACCAACUUUUGAGAUCAAUGAUUAAUUCCUUGAUGGACAUAUAAUACAGCGUCGUUUAAAACAAUACCUCUAGUGUCAAGAUCUUCACGUCUCUUGCUCUGGGAGCAACCCAUCAUUCAAGUUGCAGAGCCGCUUAGGCUAACCAAGGAGUGCAGAAGGUUUCUCGUAAGCAUUUAUAAACAAAGAGCAAUUAAAUAGUGAUAUUUUGAGAUCCAAAAAAUAAGGUUUACAGUAUGGUUGUAAGUUUAGCCAGGGAAGAUCACAUCUCUCCUCUUUAUCCCUUUUCCUUUUGUCUGCUAGUGACGUCCAACCACCUCUCUGCUACAGUGCCACCUGUCUCUAUCACUCAGACCCGUACAGAAGAAUGAGUCAGAGCACCCUCCAUGCCAGACAACCAUUUAAUUCCUCCCGGCGCACGUGCUGACAAGGCUGCAAGGUGACUGGACUCACUUCCCUUACCUUCUGUCCUGUCACCGGACUAGGCUUUCCUUGGGUAGGCCCGCGUGCAUAGUCAGUUCGGUUCACUUCACAUCGCAGGGCUCAGUCGCGCGAUGUUGGGCCGAGCCAUAUGGGCUUUAGGCCCGUAUCCUUCUCCAGGGCCUGACCUCGUCCCAUGGUGAGAGAAGCCCGGCGGUCAUCAAUUGCCCCUUUACCUACUCAGCAGUUAUUUUAUGAGUGAUGAGGAGGUAAAUUCCUAGGCCCCCAUUAUGAUCGUGCAGCUCGAGGACGGCUCCUGUCAAAACGUCCUUUCCCUGCCUUUACUCUUUUCAAAUUCAAAAUCCUCAUUUCUCUGCAGACUCUUCUUUUCACUUUACUCUUUGUGCUUAUCCCUUUCAUCUCCUGUAAAAAUCUCUCUGAGGUACGUCUCCUGCUCUCUAAUGGCUGCCCCUAGAAUUCCUGACGUUGCAAAUCUGAGGGCUUGUGUCACCCUUUCUUUUCUUACUAAUUUAUUUUCUCGGGAGUAUUUGGAUACCUCCAUCUAUCGUGUUAGGGCUCCCCUCCAUAAUGAGAAGAUCGUUCUUCUCGUUCCUCUGCCACCGGGUUUGAUCGACCUCCAACAGGAUCGUAGCUUGGUCUUUUUCAUCAAGCAACGCAAUUUUGGUCUGACUUUUCCUUUUUCUCCCUUUUUCAUCGAGAUUUUCCACUAUUUCGGAGUUACUUCUCGCAUGCUCUCACCCAACUCUAUCCUUUACAUGUGCUUCUUCGAGUCCAUCAGUCUGAGCUGGGGCUUUACUCCCUUUGCUGCCCUAUUUUCCACCUUCUUCCGUCUGAGUAGGGCCAGUCAGAGGUUUUAUUAUUUUGCUCCCCGAGGAGGGUUAUCUAUCUUCUCAGAGUAUAAAGAUUCCAUAAAGGAUUGGAUUGGAUUGAAGAUUUUGUGGUGGUGGAGCAAAGGAAGGCUCUGGGAUAAUCUGGGAUAUAGACCUCUCUUGGAGGGAUGUGCCUCCAAGCUGUAAUGACCUUCCUCAGCUGUACCUGUCUGAAGAAAUCUACCUUCUCAAACUGAUCUCUAUUUUUCAGAAAUAUAAUGUUGACAAGUGUAUGUUCGUGUUUAGUUUUCAGAACUGCCGAAAAGCUUAUAUUCGUCUAUUGAUAUAUCUUUUUUUUAUAUUCGUUUCUAACUGUUAGUUGUUUUUAUUUUUCNNNNNNNNNNNNNNNNNNNNNNNNNNNNNNNNNNNNNNNNNNNNNNNNNNNNNNNNNNNNNNNNNNNNNNNNNNNNNNNNNNNNNNNNNNNNNNNNNNNNNNNNNNNNNNNNNNNNNNNNNNNNNNNNNNNNNNNNNNNNNNNNNNNNNNNNNNNNNNNNNNNNNNNNNNNNNNNNNNNNNNNNNNNNNNNNNNNNNNNNNNNNNNNNNNNNNNNNNNNNNNNNNNNNNNNNNNNNNNNNNNNNNNNNNNNNNNNNNNNNNNNNNNNNNNNNNNNNNNNNNNNNNNNNNNNNNNNNNNNNNNNNNNNNNNNNNNNNNNNNNNNAAAUUUUCAAAAUAAUAAAUAAUUUUUAAAAAAAAAACUCGAUUAUUACUGUAUUUUCGUUUGGUGUCUUCAUUGACUUGUAGAAAAUUAUUCCACGAGUCUUCGCCAAUAUAUUAUUUUAUUUUUUUUAAAAAAAUAUAUUUAUAGUUUUAUUAUUGCAUUAAAAAAAAUCAAAAUAAAAGGAGGUGGAUUAAGGUACUAAACUUUUAAACUUAAUUUGAAAGGGGUGUUAGAAGGUUCCAAACUUUUAAACUUAAUUUGGAAGGGGCAUUCAUUACUAAUAAAUGGACAAUGUACACCUAUAAUUAAAAUAAUAUUUAGUAUCAACGAUCUUAAUUAAAAGAUAUUUACAAUCACUAACAAUUAAAUCAAAGAAUGAUUUAACGGUAAAAGCCAAUAAAUUAAUUAUUUCAACAACUGAAAUGGCAUUUGAUUCAAUCAGAACUUGCUGUCAACCUUCACUCUUUAUCUAACUUAAAAUUUCAACAAUAUCAAUAGCUUAUGUGUUUUUUAUUAAAAAGAAACCUGAAUAAUGCCAGGUUUUAGCCGUCACAAACUCUCAAUAUAAAUCACGUACAACGGCACUUAAACCCACAAAACUCAAACUCGAACCGGUAAAUGCAUCCACAUUGACCUUCAUCCAUCAUUCCGGUAGCCGUUGCCAUGAACGUAGAUGGUCUUAACUUGAUGCAGCAACAGCUAAGGAAGAAGCAGUAGCAACAGUCCAAUUUUAUAAGAACCGUAAGACUAUAUGGAAGACUUGAAAGGAAAAUUAAUUUUUAUAUUCUCACAUAAUAGAGUUCUUAUUAAUCCAUAAUGUCCAACAAACCAUGAGUAUUAAUUUAUAUUUAUCAAUAAAUGAUAGAACAAAUAUAGUUAAGAGCCAAACUAUCAAUAAAUUAACACCCGAAUAAAUUCUAUAUCAGACAAAAAAAACAUUAAAUCAAACUAUGCGAUAUUAUUUCGAUAUUUAUAAUAUUUCAUCUUAUUCAAUAACGCCAAUAUUUCACAACACAAUAAUUGAGGCCAAAACAAGUUGGCAGCGACUACUAUAUUAUUAUUUGAAUAUAUGUUACAAUUACGCAAUAUUGAAUGCGUGUUUCUCACGCGUUCUGCCUCUCCGUCAUUUUUAAACGUAAAAUUAUUGAGUAAAUAAAAAUAUUCAAGAUAUCAAAUAAUAAGUUCUUAAUCAACUAAGUAUUACAUAAUUAUAGUUUUGGCUAUUAUAUAAUUUCAUAAUAUCAAUUUUAUAUUUUUAAGAAUAAAAUAAAUUAAUAUCAAAUUAUUAUACUAAAUUCUUGCACAAAAACUAUACAUAAAAAACUAAAAAUUAAAAUUUGAAUUCUAAAUCACUAGGGUAUACUUCAAAAUAACAUAAUAUCUAAAAAAAAUUGGUCAUUAAAAUUAAAAAAUAUAAAAAUUAGAAAUUAGAAAAAUAACAAAGUAAAUAUAUAUCAGGCAAACAUAAAUAUACGUUUUAGUAAAACAAUCUAAAUUUUAUAUGGAGUUGAAAUCACUGGUUUUCUUAUAGUUGCAUAUAAUUGAAACCUAAAAGAAAUGAAAGAGAAAAAAAAUUAUUAUGUAUAGAGGGAUAGCAAAAUUAAUUAUAAAUUGGAAAAAAAAUCUCACACGAUUUGAGAUUAAUGAAUAUAAUUAGGUUAAUAUUUUCAAAUAAUAAUAAAAGAACUUUUUAAAUGUAAGAGUUUGAUAAUAAUUAAUUUUUAAUUGAGAUUUUGUACUUGUUUAAUAGCAACAAAGUAAUUUUAAUACUUCAAUUUAGAUCAUAGCUAAUAAAUUGAUUAUUUAUUAUGAAUACAUAUAUUCCUUAUUUCUAAAACUCAACUUUAUUUAUGAAUUUUAAUUCCGUCAAAUUAAAUUUUUUUAAGAGUAAAUUCUUUUUCUUCAACCUCUUUCUUUUUACUAUUCUAUUUAAAUUUUGUUUAUUUUUAGAAAAUGACUUAUAUAUUUAUAAAAUAAUUUAUUUUUUAUUAUUUAAUUAAUUUAAAAAUAAUAUAUAUAUAUAAAGGUUUAAUAAAAUUUUCAAAAGGCAAAAGAUAGAUUUUAUCUUUUAAAAAUAAAAAAAAAUUAUUUUUUUAAAAUGAAUUAAAUUUUUUUAAUUAAAAAAAUAUUUUUUAUUUAUUAAUUUUUCUAAUGAACACUGCAAAUAUUAGAAAAAUAAAAAUAUUUUACGUGAAACAAACAUAUUUUUAGUUCUAUCCAAUCGUACAAAAUGAGUAUCACCGCAUGUAAUUGAGAUUGCAUAAAUAUCAAUAGAUCUUAAAAAGAGAUUAUGCAACGAUCUUGAAAGAGAUUGAACAUAAACAUCAAACAAAUCUUGAAAGACCAAUGAAACCAUCCCAAUAUUAUAAAAUUCAAUAUAAAGAAGUGGAUGCAUAUUUGUUUAAUGUACUAAAUAAACUAGAAAUAAUUAAUUGAUAAUGACAUUAAUUCAUCCUUUUGAAUAGUUGAAAUCUUGCAUCCUUAAAUCUUUAUUUAAUUUGUUCAUCUGAAUGUCCAAAUUUUAAAAUAUAUAGAGCAAGACCUAACGUCAACUUGGUGGAGUUGUAUAUCCAACCAUAUGCAUGUAAAUCAUAGCAUUAAUUGAUAGGUGGUUUGGCAAUUAUUUUCGAAUAUUGCGUGGAUUUUUGGAUUUUCAAUUGGUUUGUUCUUAUUUCCAAUUAGGUACAGUUUAAUGGUGUCGAUCGGUCGGUAUGAUUGGAUUUUUGGCUACCCAAUAUUUUUAUUUGGAUCUAAACUAUGCUAUUUGGUUAAAUUUAUAUAAUUCAUAGUAAUGUGAACGGGCUAAAUAUGUGUUGGUUUAAUUUCUAUAUAUUUUGAGCUAUGGUCAGAUUGAACUUUUUAAUGCAAUUUUACUAUUGCAUAAUAAAUUCAAAAUGGGAGCUCUUUUGUACGGAAUACUAGAAAAAUGUCCGUGACUACUGAUAUUUUUAGUAAAUAAGUUUGAUUUAUAUUUUUAAUUUAAAUAUUUAAACAUUAAUAAUAUUUUUAAAGUGUUGGUAAUUAUUUUAUAUUUAUUACUUAUUUAUGUCGAUGAAACAUUUUUUCUCUUAAAUUUUUAAUGAAAAUUUCCUGAUAAGUUAUCAUCAUACGGUAUUAAUAUUGAUUAAAUAUAUAUAAUAAUUUAAAUCUAGUUAAAUUAUAUAAUAAUUUUCAUUAGAUUCAAAUAUGUAUAUACUAUUAACAUUAAAAAUUGUGAAAUACUUGUGUGUAUAAACAUAUUAAUUAUAAUCAUUAUGAAUGUUGUUUAAUUUAUAUUGAAUAUGCUUUUUAAAUUUAAGUUAUUUAGAUUAUAUAAAGAAUUAUUUAAAUAAAAAUAAAAAAUUAUUUUAUUAACAAUAAUAAAUAUUAUUAAAAAUAUAAAUAAUUUUUCAAUAAAUUUACGAGGACUUUCAUAAAAUAAUCUUAAUAUUUCUUGUGAAUUUGGGACGAUUUUUAUUAAAAUAAUUUUAAUAUUUUUGAUAAACUUUCAAAGGCUAUAUUUUAUCACCUAAGUUUUCAAUAAAUUAGCGAUAAAUUAGUUAUUAGAUAGAUUCUGCUAACGUUUCAGAUGGAAUGAUCCGUCAAAAAUCUGUCAAAAUAACAAACACCCCUGAAUUCUUAACUUCUAAGUCAAAAAAUCUAAGAUUCUAAAUCACAUUCUUGAAAUGAAAAAUCUGAUGAGAAGCCAAAAAGAGUGUCUUUUACACCAUCAAAGGAUGUCAUCAGAGGUUCAGAUUUAGAAACAGGAUUGUUUCGUCCAAACUUCUAUUCCCUUCCAGAACAUCAAGUAUCUGCAAUUUGCAUGAAAAUAAAGGGUAAGGGUUAGCAAUCCAAAUGACCACAUUGAGAGAAGAACAGAACAUGUCGAGGUCUACGCUGUGGAAUUAUAUUUUUGCAGAAUUACCUGACUCAUUCGUGGCCUACGUUCUGGAUUAUCAUCUACACAAGCUAAAACACAAGCAACCAUUCGACCCAUUUGUUCAGUGUCGUACUUAUUCUGUAAUUUCUUAUCAACAAAAUCGAACUUGUCCUUUCCUUCCAAUGGACUUUGUGAGAGCAGUGGCUUAGCCUGAAUAUUCAUGCAUGAAAUUAAUCAAAAUUAGGAUUGCCAUUAUACACUUAAUUAAGCCGCUAAGCUUCUUGUGUAAUUAAAUUGCAAUUAUAGAAUAGCCUACGUACCCAUUUAACCAUGUUCUUGUGACCACUGAAAUGACCAACUGGUUGUUUCCCGGUAAUCAACUCCAAAAGAAUUACACCAAAGGAAUAAAUGUCAAGCUUAUCAGUCAACUUGCUGGUAGAUUGAUACUCAGGAGCCAUAUAUCUGCAUUUGGAGUUGGAUUAAUAAGUGAAAGUAUAUUCUAACUUUCUUUUAAUUUGUUUCUUCUUCCUAAUCCCAAGUCCCCAAAUGUCUAUCUCAUAGCUUUAAUGCAACAAAAAUUUAGAAAAUCUAUUUACCCGGAAUUUUGCAUAAUUUUGCUGAUAGAGAGAUGAGUAACAGAAUCCGGGAAAAUCUUGGCACUUCCAAAUUCUGCAAGCUGAACAUAAUAUUGAGAUUUAAUUAGUUUAACGGUGUUAAGAUGUCUGCAUAAGUUAAAGCUUCAAAAUAAUUUUUGUUGAAUCUUUUGGCAAAAGCACGUCAAAAUUUAUGCAAAAAUAUUACUGAGCAAAAUUUUAAUGUAUAAUAUUCCUUACCUUUGGUAUAAAUUUAUCAUCCAAAAGAAUGUUAUCGGACUUGACAUACAAAUGUAAAAUUUUGUGUCCACCUGAAAAUAAAACAAUAUCAACAAAAAAUAAUAAAUAAAUAAAUAAAUAUAUAAGCUUCCACACAAAGAAUACGGACUGUCUUCAUGCAUAUAUUUCAAUCCUCUGGCCGCGCCUUUGGCGAUUUCCAUUCUCCUUGUCCACUCUAUAGUUGAUCCUCCAUUUUCUGCAAUAUUAAUGAUACCUUUAAGACCAGUAGAAUCUUUGUUGUUGAAAAUUAAAUUUAUUAAGGUGAAAAAGACUC
Molecule: long non-coding RNA, 64651 nt
Filed under: Manihot esculenta (cassava)
Lineage: Eukaryota; Viridiplantae; Streptophyta; Magnoliopsida; Malpighiales; Euphorbiaceae
Description: long non-coding RNA (MESC_LNC002528)
Rfam family: Plant small nucleolar RNA R71 (bases 12625-12731)
Source: RNAcentral